Molecule: long non-coding RNA, 72041 nt
Filed under: Ricinus communis (castor bean)
Lineage: Eukaryota; Viridiplantae; Streptophyta; Magnoliopsida; Malpighiales; Euphorbiaceae
Description: long non-coding RNA (RCOM_LNC001616)
Source: RNAcentral
CAAAGACAGGUCCUGGCUCGAAUUCUAGCAUGAUAGGAGGAAUCCUCUGCAGCCCUCAUACUGAUGGACAAGUAUGGAUAGGUUAUAAAAAGAACUGAAAUCAAGCUUUAAAAGCACCAAACAGGAGGUAUAGAUCUCCCUGACGAUCUUGGCAGCAAUGGAGCAAAAAUGUCUUACCUAGCAGCUCAAUGUGCAAAUCUGAAUCAUACAUGCAUAGACAUGCCCCUAAAAAGGCAACCACCUAGUAUAUACUCCAAAAGCAAUAUGUAUACUGAAUAUAUUAUAUAUUUAUGAUACUGGUACAUGCUAUACAAAUGAGUGUAUACUGCUCAUCCAACUAUAUAAAAUCAAAUUUAUAAAUAUCACAAAAAAUCCAAACUACCAUUAUCUAUUCUCGAGUUUCUAUAAAAAAAUAUUUUAAUUGUUAUAAAUCAAUUUUGCUAAAAACAAAAAUUUUCUCGUAAAAGCAUUUAAAUAAAAUAUACAAAUAUAAUACAAUUGAAAACAACACUGUUAUAAGCUUAUCCAUUCAUCUUGUAUACAGGACUCGAAUUUACUAUACGGAACUCAAGUCGCUAACUUUUUCUCAAACUAAUAUUCAUAUACUUAAUCCUAUAAGUUAUAUAGAAAUGAAAUUAGAAAUAAAUUUAAAAUUCUCUUUUCUAAUAAUUCUUACCUAAUAUCUAGCGUCAAACCCGAUUUAUAACAAUUCUAUUAAUUCUCUAAUUAUUUAAACUAAUUAAGGCUACUGAAAUUUUAACAGCAUCUCCUAUGUAAAUCGGAUUAAUUUUCACCGUAAAAUGGAUCCAAAACCUCCAAGCAAUCACAACUCACAAAAUACUCGUCCAGAGCCACAAAUUAUUCAUUUGAAAAGUCCAAUUAAACGUCCGUUUAAACUCCAGCAAAAAUAAUUACUUAUUUUUUUAUUAAUUACCUCGAGAUGAUUUAAUAACUAAUGCUAAUAAUAAGUACUCUUACUAAUUCAUUUAUCCUUUACAACAAUUGUUCAUAAUUCUGACUAUUAUAACUACCUCUAAUUUUAAAAUCCAAUUCAAUUCACCAUAUCUAUCAUAGGAAUAAUAUCAAUAUAAUUCUCCUUAUUUCCCUUUACAUUAACAAAUCUUUAAUUUAUUUAUAAAAAUAAUUAAUUUUUCACAUUAUCAAAAAUAAUCUAUAUAUUAUCAAAAUUUCUAUUUACUAAUAAUAUAUUUAAUCUACUAAGUUAAUUAAUAACCUAAAAUUAGACAAGCAAAAGAAAUUUAUCUCCACACACGUAACGCCUAUCGACUCAUUACCGGUCGUUGAUGUCUGUUCGAAGAUCCGAAGACACCAUCAAACUCGUCUCAAUGUAUAAAUCAUGGAUUAACUAUUAUUUUUUCCUAAAGAAUCGAUAAUUGACCAAAAAAAUAAAAAAUGCUCUUGACCAUCUGAUCAUAAACAGUGUCUGAUCGAGGUGAAACCAAUGACAUCUGAAAGGUCGUUUUCUAAGGAGUUCAUUUGUGUAUUUUAAUUUCUUAAUAAUCUAAACACUCUCCACAUCACAUGAUGAUGAACCUGAAAAUGGGAUUUGCAAAGGUCUAAUUCACUCUUCCACUGCUGUAAACGGAGCCAAAACAACAAGCAUAAAAACAAUAAUUAAGAAAUCGAGCCAUGAAAAAGAUUCAAGAAGAGUUUAUUUUAGCCAUCUAAAUAAUGUUUUAAGAUAAAUAUUGAAUUUUAAUGGAGAUUUUUAUUUUUCAGGCCAUAAAUUAUGUCUUAAAGAAAAUAAAUAAAUAAGAUAAAAAGCAAUUUUGUAAUUUCACAGAAAACUAAUGGUAAUAUAACUAAAAAUUAGACGAGAACAGCUUCUAGCAUAAUAUGAAAAAAGAGAGAUUUUAAAAAUUGAGGUCUUGAUUAAUGUAAUAUUGUAAAUCUCAAAACAGAAAUAGUAUUAGGGAUAAAUUAAAUUGGAGUACCAAAUUCUUCCUUUUAUACUAAAAAUAUAUUAAAUUUAUGAUAUAACUAAAUCAUCACUGAAAUUUAUACUUUGUAAAAAAAAAAAAUCAAAAUUUUGAUCUUAAAAGAUAUAUGACCUGUGCUUUUCUUGUAACAAAUCAAAGGUUUAAUAUAUUUUUGUUGCAAAAUGCAAAAUUUAACGACUAUCUAUAUGAAUUUACUAUCUAAGUGUGACAAAAAAUUCCAUUAAUGUUACUAAAGUUAAAGUUUAGCAAUUAUUGAAUUAUAAAUAAAAUAUUUUUUACUUUUUUAUUAUAAAGUGUAAAGUAUAAUAACCGCCAAUAUAAUUUAUUGAUAAUAUUACCUUAGAAUUUAUUUAUAUACCAAGUGAAAGAAACUGGAACUUAAAAUCGAUAAUAUUGCUUAGUUUUGCCUUUCUUUUUUUUCUUUUUUUUUAUCAGUUAUGGUGAAAACAUCACAUUUAACUUCAUCCCUUUGCAAGGUUGGUUUCAGUAGAUUUCUUAAUUAAUCACAAUUUCUUCACAAACCAAGACUUUAUUAAAGCAGAAUUUGGGUAAGGUACCCAGUACAAAAACUGACCAACUAUAUCAACAAAAAAUGGAAAAUGAAACGGUACAAGAACAAAAAUAAUAUAAAACAUAUAACGCACGCGAUAAAGUCACUCUCUUGUAACAGUUGCCUUUGCCAAGUUGUCUGCAUAUUUUCAACACUUAUAAAUUAGUCUAACAUGUUUAAUUUGGAAGCAUGCAUGUGAUUAUGCCGGGUACAAAUUUGCAGGCAAACGUGGCUUUGCGAGUGCAACUAAUGGUUUGGCAAGUGCCAAACUAUUCUUAGACUCUGAAAGAUCAAUGCUUGUCUCAUUAGGGGGCACGCUCCAGCUAAACCCUUGAAGAAGCCUAGCAAAUAACAUAACAGUCACUGCAGUUCCCAAUAUGAUGCCUGGACAACCUCUUCGUCCUGUACUAAAUGAAAGCAAGUUCAAAUCAGGCUCCGUCAGCAUCACUUGACAUCCAUUUCUCUUGAAAUGACGCUCUGGUUUGAACAUGUGUGGUUCAUCCCAAAUCCGGGGAUUCCGGCCGAGGCCGACUCGGCUAAGCAAGACAUGGCUACCUUUCGGAAUAAAAUAGUUAGCAACAGUUGUAUCUGCUAUGGAGACAUGAGGAAGAUUGAAGAAGACAAUAGGGUGGAGGCGAAACGCUUCUUUAGCACAUGCUUUUAUGUAAUUGAGCUGUGGAAAAUCUGACUCUUGGACUAGUCUCUCCCUUCCAACAACUCUAUCCAAUUCUUCUACUGCUUUCUCAAGAAGUUUCGGUUUGUUUAUCAUCUCUGCAAGUGCCCAUUCUAUAGCAUUUGAUGGAUUAUCUACUACUGCCAUCAUUAUUUCCUGCAAAAAUUGAUAGUUGAUAUUUAAUUAUUGAAAUUAGCUGGUGGGAAAUAUAGUAAUUAAAAUGAAAAACACAGUGAAAAUAUGCAUACAACUGGUAAUUUUCCUUAUAUCCAUACCAGGGAUAUAUUCAAAAAUAAAUUCUUUGUGAAGACAAUAGAGCGUGCAUGCACGCUUAAUUUGAUAUAUUCAUUUAACAAAAUCACCAGUUGAUAUUUAGCUUUGUUGAAAUCAGUUGGUAGGAACUAUUGUUAUUAAAAUGGAAGAUGCAAUAAAUUUGAAUCUUAACCAACAUAUUUAAUGUUUGCCGAACUCAAAAUGACGAACUGAACUUCUUGCAAGAAAGGACAUGCAAAUGGAAUUUUCCUUAAAUCCAUUUCUUAAAUCAGGUGCAAAAACAUUAUAUUUCGAAUGUGUUGUGAGAGGGAGUGAGAGAGAGACGGAAUUUACAGUAAUUUGAGCUUUAAUCUCUUCUGUUGACAGCAAAGAGUUGCCACUGGCAUCUUCUAGAUUUAUGAAAACGUCAAGCAAGUCAUCCACUUCCUUUUUGGUGCCAUCCUUCCAUUGUUGGACCCUCUCUUCAAUUAUGGGAUCUUGAUAUUUAUUUAUGGUCCCAAGAGCAUCCUUCAUGACCUUCCCAUGGCCAUCCAAGUCAAGCCCUGUCAAGCAUGGCAUGUAAUCAGAAACACAAAACGCAUAGCUAUGAGCAAGGACUGUGAAAAUCGCAUCAACAUGCUCUUUUUCCUCGAUACCAGGUCCUCCGUCCUUCAUUCCCUCCCCGAAGAACCUUUUGUUAAACACCAUUUUCCUUGUUACAUUUCCACAAUAGUGCCGUCCAGUGACUCUCACGUUAACUGAUCCACCUUCCUCAACAGUCUUGCAUUGGUUAUAUACAUAACGUACAAGGUGAUCAGCUGCUUCAAGUCUUUUUCCGUAAAACCACUUGCAUUUUUCCACAGAAAGAAAUUGCGUUACCAGCACUCUCCUCAUUUUCUUCCAUUGUUCUCCCAAGGGCACAGCACCUGUUGCCAAAUAACCUCUUGUAGUGAGAUCGGUGGACAUGGUUAACGGUCUGCUUGCAAAAAGAGCAUCCUGUACUUCCAAGAAUUCGCGGCUAAUCUCAGGAGAAGUGACAGGAAUCACAUGAACGUUUCCAAGACGGAUACAAGCAAUUUCAGUGUUCAUUUCUUUCAUGAGCUUGUGUAUCCAUCGAAAGGUCGGCUUAUUUGCUAGCAUCGUUGGCAGGCAUCCGACAAGAGGCCAAGGUUUUGGGCCAGGAGGUAGUGGGAGUUGCUUGGCGUUUUGGCUUUCUAGCUUUUGGAAUUUCGUCAAGUAAAUUAAGGCCAACGCCAAGAGAAGAACUAGGGAACAGGAGCUCAACAAUGUUCUGAGAAAGCCAAUGCCAAUUCCUGCCAAAUCUGGAGUGCCAUGAAGAGAAGCUAGCCUAGUGCAAGAUAUUANNNCUUGCAUGCUUUGCAGGAUGCUGUUUCGAACAAACUCUCACCUCUUUUAUCUCAUUUGCUUUUUUCUUUUCCUUCUUUUUUUGUUUACACAAUGCAAUAAUUAACUCUAUAAUCUCUCCCAUUUAUAGGGCUGAAUCCAAAAUCUACGAUGUAAUUCAAUAUAGCAAUGCAAUAGAACGAUUUGUUAAAUCUGAAUAAUACAGGACGCGUGAUCCGUAUUUAUACUUGUAUCUUAAUAACUCUACUGUAUAUACCAUAUAUUUGAGCUUUUAUUUAUACAUUUAUCCAAAUCAUAAAUUAACUAUAUAUUAAAUCUUCUUCUAUUCAUUUAUACAAACCAUUUACACAUUAUGGAAUUCAAGUUUAGUUUGGCCACACAACAUAUAUUAUUAUUAUUUAAGGUAUCAUUUUUAUUUCCUUUUGAUUUCAUAACUAACCUCAUUUAUGCAUUCAUGUAUAUACAUGUCUGAAAGAAUAUUUCAUAACUAUUCUUUUAAUAUCAUCGCGUUUGACAAGCGAUUAGAAAACAAUCAAAAUUAAGUUAAAACGAUAUGGGAAAAUAACGGAUGAGAUGGGAUACAAGGGCUGUGGAGUAGCAACUUUAAAUCUCAAAAUUUUUUACCUAAAUUUGGUGUAUGUCCUCGCCUAUAUACUAAACCGAUAAAUGAUAUUUAUUAAUUUUAAAUAAUUAAAUAUAUAUCAAUUAUCCAAUAUAAAAGUGUAAAAUACUCAUAUAUAGUCACUCUCCUAUUAGAUAUGGUGUAUACAUCAACGCUAGAUAAUAAUUUUUUCUCUAAGAAAUCACCAUUGUACUAGUCCUUUCAUAUUAUUCUUGUAACAGUUUAUGGCCGAUAGAAUUUGGUGUUGUUAUACUAUAUAGUCCCAUAAAAAAAAUGAAAAAUUAAAUAGUUGGACGCUGAAUAGAGCCGUUACACGCUGAUAUCACCGAACUAUCUAAUUUGGCUCCUCCGUCCACUACCCACAACCACUGUCCACCUUCAUUAGUGCUAGGGCUAAGUUUGCCAGCAACUCUUCUACUCCCGACUAGUGUCCUGGCCUCUCUCUCUCUCUCUCUCUCUCUCUCUCUCUCUCUCUCUCUCUCUCCUAACCUUCCUUCCUCCCCCUACCCGUUUCCUUUUUAUUCUUCUCCCUUUUCGUUCUUUACUUACCCCUAGUUAUUUACUCUUAAACCCCUAACUUGUAUUUAUCCUUUCAAUUAAGCCACUAAUUUGUUAUAUUUGGCCUAAAUUAGUUACAAUUAUUAAAAUAUAAAAAAUAUUUUGAUCCUGCGUGACACUUUUAUAUCUAAAUCCCAUAUUUAAAUCAAACUUUUAUUUUAACCCCAUUUUAUAUAAACAAAUAUUAGUUUAAUCCUUAGUUAAUUUACUCGAUCAAAUUCAUUAAAAUCUAAAUACUCAAAUAAUUAUUAUUGUUAUAGCACUGUAAAUAAUAAAUUAAAUCCUUUAUUAAGUCCCAUAGUCUUAUAUUAUUUAUUUAAAUAAUACACCUUACCUAAAUCAAAUAAAUAAGUUCCAUAAAUAUCUCAUUAUUAUUAAUACUAAAGAUAAAUCCUUAAAUAACACUUUAAUUUUAGGUCACUGAUAGGUUGAUAUUAUGUAUAUAUAAUUAAAGUAUUUUAGUAAUUUAUUGGUAUAUUUUAUAUACAUAAUAUGUAAAAAUAUAUGUUUAUUACCUCAUUUUAUAUUUAUUGUCUAAUUUCAGGUGACAAUAGCCAAAAAGAUAGAAUAUGAGCCAAAAAUGCAUAAAUGGACUUUAAUUAGACUGCAGCUGUAAAAGGCUCGGAAUAAAGACACGUGGACAACCAAAAUUGCAGGCCUAGUCGAGUUUAUCAAUAUCCAUGAAAGAAAAAUUAAUUAUGAUGUAAUUAAGAUAAAUUAUUUUUUUUAAGUUGUUUAUUUUGUUUAGGAUAGUUAACAGAUAACUAUAGCAGUGUUAUGCUUAGAGAAGGACUCUGAAAAAAGAAUCUUUACAAGAAGUAGAGCAGUUAAACAAGGAGAGCAUCGUUCUAUUAUUCUUCUCUCUGCAAAUUCCCUAUAGUUCGUCUUCUACAACAUUUAAUUAGUUUUGCAUUAUUCUUUCAAAGAUUAGAGAAGCUUUUCAGGACGUGGAGAAUAAGGAUCAAUCUUCUUCAUCCCUUGAAGAACUUCUGGAUUUUAAGAGAGUUUUAAUUCUCUGUUUUAUAUUUCUUAUGUCUUUCUAUUUAAUUAUAAAGACUGUUGAAUUAAAUAUAUCAGGCUAAGUUCCAUAAGUGUUUUUAGUUUGGCUUUUUACUUAUAUAUGAACUUUAUAUAUUAUGAGUUUAAUAAAUAAUUUCUUUAUCUUCAUACAUGUAUUAGUUUCAUCUAUUAUUGUUGAUUGACCAUUAUAUCAAUUUUAAUAGUAAUAUGUGUUUUGAAAAUCUUUAGGUUAAAAGUAUUAGAAACAUCAUCUUUACUUUAAUCCAUAUUGGUAUAAGAAACCUAGGUUGCAUCAUUAGCUUGAGUGACUUAGGGAAAAGGUACAUCACCAUCUCAUUCAUGAGAUUUAGAUUUAAAGGGAAAUAAGGAGAUUACUAAGUAUAAACUAGACUAAAUGCUAAUUUAUCAUACAGUUUACAUUAAAUAUUUUAUUUGCAUAUUAUUUUCUAUUUUAUUUAAUUUCUUUCGUAAACCUUCAAAACUAUUCUCGAAGCAUUGACUUAGAGUGUUUAGAUUUAUUUUUAGAUAUUUUUGUAUGAUAGUUGGUCUUUAUAAUAUAAGCUCUAAAUGUAAUUCAUCAACGCAAGAUUCCUACAACUUGAGAUCAGCUAUUAAAAAGGGAGAAGGAGACUAAGAAGUAGAUAGUGAGUUUGUACCUCCAGGAGAAAAAUAAUUUGAAGAAAAGCUAGAACAAGAAUUUGAAGAGGAGGUUGAAAUGGCUAUGAAAGAUUAUGCUCGUCCCAUAAUUGGUAACACUACUUCAUGCAUAAUUCUAGGUGAUGCAUCUAGGAAUUAUAAACUUAAGAACAUUCAUUUUAAUAUGAUUCCUUCAUUCUAUGGUAUGCCUAGUAAAAAUAAAUUACAUUUAUUUAGAAAUUUUAUGUUACAGUUUAUAUAUUCCCAUUAUCUAGACUAAAUAAAUACCAACUAAGCAUGAGAUGUUUUCCUUACUCAUUAAAAGAGAAAGCAAAUGUUUGGUUAAUGACCAUGCCUCCUAAUUCUUUGAGAACUUGAGAUGAAAUUUAUCAAAAAUUUAUGAGUAAAUUUUACUCAUAUUAAAAGACCAAAUAAUUAAAGGCUAAAAUUUUCAACUUUUAUCAAAAUGAUACUAAAUCUUUUCAUAAAGCAUGAGAUCGCUUCAAAUCACUUUUAUUGCAAUGCCCACACCAUGGAUAACCCACUUCCUGUGACCAACCAAUCAUUCUAUGAUGGUUUAACAUAAUAAUAUCAAUAUAUGGUUUAUAAUAUAGCUGGGGGUGCUAUGUUAGAAAAAACUGUUGAUGAGGUUUGUGAUAUCUUUGAGAUGUUAGAAGCCAAUUCACAAUAAAAGAGUAUGAGAACAAAAGGAGUAGGAGUAAAUGAAGUUGUGUCUAAUAAUGAGAUGGCUAUGCAGGAAUAUACCAAGCAAUAAGGUAUGUGGUAUAUGUGGUGUUUAUGGUCAUGGUGCUAAUGUUUGCUCAUCUUAUGAGAUUUAUGCAUGAAAUAAUUAUGAACAAGUUAAUUUGAUAGAAUCUUAUCAGCCUAGGCAACCUAGGAAUAAUCCAUAUUCCAACACUUACAAUCCAGAAUGGAGGAACCAUCCAAAUUUUUUCCUGGAGAAAUAAUGAUCAAAACCCACCAUAAAUAACCUAGGUUACAUUAUUAGCUUGAGUAACUUAGGAAAAAGGCACAUCGCUAUCUCAUUCAUUAGAUUUGGACUUAAAGGAAAAUAAGGAAUUACUAAAUAUAAGAUAGACUAAAUACUAACUUAUUAUAUAGUUUACAUUAGACAUUUCAUUUGCAUAUUUAUUUAUUUAUUUAUAUAAUUUAUUUUAUAAACUCUCAAAACACUGGCUUAGGGUGUUCAGUUUUAAUUUUAGGUGCUUUGUGUGAUAAUUAAUUUUUAUAAUAUAUGAUUUACAGUUAUUUUGUGAGAUCGAUUUCGUGAUAAAUUUACUCAUAUUAUCAUUCGAUUCGUACACUUACGAAUAUUAUAUUUGAGACAUCAAUCACAUUAUUCAAAAUAAUAAAUCAUAUGCCCAUUACUUGAAUAUAUCAAAUGUUUAUUACUUGAUUAAUAUGAGAUUAUUAUUAUUAUUAUUCCUGUAAUUUAUAUGUACUAAUUUAUUAUUUAUUUUUAGUGUUAAAUUGUACAAAAUAUCUAUAUAUUAAGUUGUAGAAAACUCGAGAUGUCAAAUACCAUAUGAGUUGCAUUUAUAAAUUUAAUAUGAUGAUAUAUAUGUUUCAAUAUAAAUAACUAUUAAGUUUGAGUUUUCCUUCCUGUUUGUCAUGAAAAACUGUCCACUUGCAAUGGCAAAAAUAAUAUUAUGUGAUUCUUAAGGAUUCAACGCCCAGUUAUCAAGAAUCGAGAGAGAGCCAUGACACAUCUUGUCCUCUACUGAUCAAUCAUUCACCCCAACUUAAAGCACUAGGCACGAGCCAUGAGACAUAGGCCUUGAUAGUGGUCCUGUCCUCUAUUUAUCAAUCAUAUCCCUCAAUUGAAGCACGUUGUUAUUUCGAAGAAAGAAAAAAUGUACGAUUUUGUGCAAGAAUUUACAACCAAGUAUUUAAGGGUGGCCUGAUCCAUUUAGAUAACAGUCUGCCCCACCGAGCAGUACUAUCACCAAAAAGUGUGAUUCUAGUCAUUUAUAUACAGAUAAAUGCCUCAAAAGGCAACCACUUAAUGUAUACACUGAGCUAUAUGCAUUUUCAUAAAAAAUAAUAUAUUUUAUUUGACAUCUCAUAUUUAAAAUGUGAUAUUUUAGAUCAUAUAAAUAAAUAUAUGUAUAUUUAUCCAGCUAAAGAAAAUUAUAUUUAUAUAUAAAAUAUUAAAAAUAUUAUUCUUCAUUUUCAGUUUUUACAAAGAAUAAUUAAAUUAAAAUCACCUUUAAAUAAAUAUUUUUUAUGAGAAACAAUUUAAAAGAUCAUAAUUAUAUAAAUAAUAAAGUAAAAAAAAUACAAUGUUAUAAUUUUAUCCACUCUCCCAGCAUGCAAGACUUUUAACCAAAUCCUUAACCGAACUAUAACUUUACACAACCUGCUAACUUUAAAGAGUUAUUUAAACAUUUAACUCUAUUUUUAAUAAUAAUUUUAAUGUUUUUUUUGCUAACAAUCCUUAUCCAACUUCUAAUAUCUAUAUAGUAUCUCGUUCUUGACAAUCAUUAACUUUUAUAAUUAACAUAAUCAAUCAUCUUAAUAACUAAUCCACCUUAUCCACUAAUUACACUUCAACUCAUUUAAUUAAUAGGAGUAUUAAAAAUAUUAAUUAUAAUAUCACAUUAACAUAUCAUUAAUUAUCAACCAAUAAUUAUAUAUAAUUAAAUACCUCAGUUACUUACUAUAAGUUUUAUAAUUCAUAUACCACCUUCUAAACUAAUUAUCAUAAUUUAAUAAUAAAAUUCAUAAUGUAGUUAAUAUUUAUUUUUCUUAUGUUCUCCAUCUUCCCAAUAAUAGAUUUUCGUCCAUUUAAUCUAUAAAAAUAAUAAAUUAAUUAAUUCCUUAAUAUAGGUACUAACUAAUAUAUCUUCAAAAAUGUUAUAAUCUUUAAUUAAUAAUUAUGUAAUACCCGAAAUUUUUAUAUAUUUAAUAAUGAGUUUUUAUUUAAGUUAAUUUUAGCUUUAUUUUUAUUCGGUUUAAUUGGAAUGAUUUAAAUACAAAUUUUGAAUUUUAAUGUUAGACAAAUAAAUGAAUUAUUUUUCUAUACCCAAUUAGUUGAAAUUUUAAGAAUUAAUUAAGUAAAUUAUUUGAAGAGUAGAAUAUAUUUUUGGUUAUUCAAAUUUUUCCCAAAUGCAUAUUUAUAUAAGUAAAAUUAUAUAUUGGAAAAUUAUGGUAGAAAUUGUAAAGGAUGUUAUAAAAGAAUUUUGAGAAAAUUGGUAUUAUAAUUGAUUAGUAGUAUUAAAUUUUAAGUUGGAAAUUGAUUAUUUAAUUUAAUUGUGUGUAGGAUUUAAUUGGAGGAUUAUUUUGGAAUAAGGAUUAAAAGUAUAAUUUUAUUAUUAUGAGGGUUUAAUGGAAAUUUGUGAGUUUGGUAUUUUCGUAAAUAAAUAUGUCGGUCAUGUGUAUUUUUGUAAUUUUAUAUUUUCAAUAAUUCUAAUUUGGCCCAAAUUAAAUAGUUAAGGGCUUAAUUGAAAGGAUAAAAGAAAGUUUAGGGGUUAAAUUGAAAUUCUGCAGGAUGAGAUUGUAAGUAAGGAAGUUGAGGGACCAAAUUGUGAUAAGGAAAAGUUUGGGGGCUUAAUGUCGAUAUUGAAAGAAAGAAAAAAGGAAUGGAAUCGGGGAAGAAGAAGAAAAAGAGAGAGAGAUGUCGGGGGAGAGAGAGGAGCGCGCGGAGGAAGGAGCUGCGGCGUCGAGGCCGUCCGUCCGGGGUGCGGGGCUGGCCGGCGAUGCUACGGGAGUCAGCGGCGGCGGCAGCAGCGGCAGCGGCAGUGGCACCAGCGGGCGACUGCAGCAGCUCGCGCGAGGAGGAAGUUGGCCGAAGCUUCCUUGCCGCCGUGCGGGCGCUUCCGGCGUCGGUGGUCGCUGAUCUUGGUGCCGAUCGACUCCUCUCGGCCUUAGCUUUGUUUUGGUGGCGGCGAUGUCGACAAUGGUGGCCGGAAACGGAGGUUCACGGUGGAGAGAGAAAAUGGAGGCAGCCAAGCUUUUUGGGCAUUUCCGGUGAGCUCCAGCGAGCUAUGGAAGAUCAGAGGACAUAUCCCGACUCUCCUCAGCUCAUGCUUCGAAAUGGCACCGGUUUCGUGGCGAUCGGGCUCCGUUUGCGAAUCGACGGCCGAGAUCCUCCGAAAAUCUCUCCAGAUGAUCGGGUGUCAGAUCGGAAAAUUAAAAGCGGGGAUCGUCAUCAGCGCAUCCUUGUGAGUCCGAUGAUGUGUUCGGAUCGUCGAUCGGACUCCGGCGGCUGAAGGCGAGUCGACCGAGCGAUCGAGCAUCUCAGUAAUUUUCUCUGGCCGUUGAUCUUGGAAAUCCUUUGAUUUUAAAUUUAUGCUUAUUGUUUUAUGUUGAGUAUUUAAUAUUUGUGAGUCAAAAAUAAUUGUCUGUCAGUUUGCCUGCCUCGUGUUUUAUAUUGUGUGGCGGAGUCGGGAAAAUAGUGAAGUUUGGAGACCCGACUCCCGUUGUUUGAAUUGUUGAAUAUUUGAAGUGUUUUUCUGGCAGGUCCUAGACCCGUUUUUACGAGGGGUAAUGUCCGUAUUGUAGGGGAUGUUCCGCCGAAUUUUCGGUAGAAUUCUCCCGAGUCGAGAUUUUUAGACAGUCAGUCCUAGGAGUCUAGACCUAGGAUUAAUGAUCGAUUGUUUCAGCGUUUUGAUAAUUGUUUUCCGUGACUAGAUUGUCCGUUUUUUCCGCUCGCUCCAACCGAGGCACCAGAGCAGAGCUAGGAGGUCGCUCAAUUUUGUGAGUUAAAGUCAUUUAAUCAUUGCACUAUUGCUAAGUCUGAUUUUAAUAUGCUAUUUUAGAAUUUGUGCUUAAUAUGAUUAUUAGUAUCGCAAAAUAAAUAAUUUCACUUGAUUAUUAAUUAUUGAAAAUAAUAUAAAUAUUAUUAUUAGUAACGUUAUAAUAAUACAGAUAUUAUUAUUUUUUUCGACACGAAUUGCACAUUGCCUUAUCCUAAAUUUUUAAUCUUUNNNNNNNNNNNNNNNNNNNNNNNNNNNNNNNNNNNNNNNNNNNNNNNNNNNNNNNNNNNNNNNNNNNNNNNNNNNNNNNNNNNNNNNNNNNNNNNNNNNNNNNNNNNNNNNNNNNNNNNNNNNNNNNNNNNNNNNNNNNNNNNNNNNNNNNNNNNNNNNNNNNNNNNNNNNNNNNNNNNNNNNNNNNNNNNUGGGAAAUGUGGCUUUAGUAGACAUGCCACUGUGGGUGCAUCAGACGCGUGCGCAACGGUAUGAUCAAAGUAAGGUAAUAAGGUUAUUAUGGAUUUGUUUGCCUGAUCGAGCAUUGCUCUCUGGGCUGAGUUCAGUUGAUUGCCGGGAAUUAAGGUCCCUGAUCAAGCAACGCUCUCUGGGCACCGGCUUAUUUGGAAUUCAAGUGUUCAGGCUAGAGGUAAGGACCCUGAUCGAGCUUGCUCUCUAGGCGCCAGACCUGUUGGAUUAAGAGAGCCGAAAGGCUACUAGAAUUUGGGGUUAGGGUUCUACUGAGCCACUCGUCCCGUAAAAGUAAAAAUAUAUUUUUAUUUAUUAUGGUAUGAUUAUAGUAUGAUUGGUAUUUAUGUGCAUGGUUUGAUAUACUGAUUUGAAUAAUUAAUAUUUUCUGUGAAGACUGUAAUAGUCUCUAGAUUAUUUGAUUUUAACUCACUCUCGAGACUGACAGUCUCCAUUUAUUUUUUUUCAGAUUCGUGACUGUUAGUCUUCCCGCGACUCUUACUCAGUAACUCGAUUCUUUCAUCAUCGGGUGGUGUUUGAUUUGGUAUGUCAAAUUGUAAAAAUCUUAGAUUCUCCGUAGUUGCAAUAGUAGAGGUAUCAGUUGUAAAUUUUAUGAGUUUCGGGUCUCGCCUAAUUUUUCUGGCAGACCGAAGUAAUUAUGUAAAAUGUAACUAUUAAGAUAAUUUAUGGCUUUAAUAAUAUUAAUUUGAGAUGAGAUUUGUUUGAGUUGUGAGUUUCAGGCUUACUACGGGAUUCGGUGGCUUUACGCCUACCCAUUCCCUAGUGCCGGUCACGGGCUCACAGCUGGGGUGGUGACAAAUUAUCUAUUUAUUCUACUGAAAUUUAUAUUAACUAUGUAAAAAUUAAACAAUAUGCAUAUAUGUUAGCGGACUCGGCAUUGGUCGUUGGAGUCUGAUCGAUUAUCCAAUGAAUCUAAUAGACUCGUAAUGAUACAUAGAUCAUGAAUCCAAUGUGAUCCUUCAUUCAAGUUACCGAUCAACUCUGAAAUAGUCAAACAGUUUUGGCUAUCAAUUUUUCAAGAGAGUCAUAUCACUAUAAAACUGGUGUAGAUAGAAAAUUUAUAAGGAGAAUUUAUUAUUCUCUAAUUACUUAGAACACGUCACAAUUAGAUGAAAUCCGUUACAAAUCAAACUAGCUUUGUUUUCUCUCUCUACUGCGUCUCAUCAUCCCCAGUCAAAGUAGAGGCCGCCAUGGUCAUCACUUGAAAGCUCAUUAUAAGAUGAGUCCAAUGCCACUAGUUCUAAUAACCGGCCUACUAAAGGAAGGAGAUCCGCUAGUUGGAAUUUUUAAUCUUCUAAACUUACUCCUCCAUACGUUGCCCACAAUCGCCAAGUGGUAACAGCAAGGUCACUUAGUGACUGUGGGCAGCGUAUGGAGGGGUAAGUUUAGGACACUAAAACUUCCAAUUGGUAGAUCUCUCUCCUUUAGUAGGGCCAAUGACUGGAACUAGUGGCAUUGAACUCAUCUUGUCAUGAGCUUUCAAGUGAUGAUCCUGGUAGCCUUUACAUUGAUCAGAGAUGACGAGACACAGUGGAGAAAGAAAACGAAGCUAGUUUGAUUUUAACGGAUUUCAUCCAAUUCUAAUGAUGCAACCAAGGAUGCAUCUAAGUCAACUAGCAUGGAUCCACUAGCCUAUGGAGGACCAAUGACACGAGCAAGGAGUAAGAAGUUCAAGCAAGCCUUAAAUUCUUACUUGGAGCAUGUUUUGAAGAUGGCUAAUGAUGGUGCUUUUGAUGAUGAUGCCUUGAAGAUAGUGACAUUAAUUGCUAUUAAUGAAAGAGCAAAAAUUUAGGCAGAAGAUCAUUUUCAGUAAAGCCUGACCACGCCUUACAAUCCAUGAGCUGCUGGAACCUCAAAAAAAGUGUUGAAUUUUUCAAGAUAAAUUCGUGGUGGACCGAUUUUUAGUUAAUUUCCUCUAUUUUUGGAAGUACUGGAUAAAGAGAACUUUCUCCCAUGAAUUUAGAAUUUUAAUUUUUUUAGAUUACUCUUUAUCUUAUCCUUCCUUAUAGGGAUAAGAUCAGCCGCAUAUUAGGAGUCUUUUAUGGUUUGAUUUUUAUUCCUUAUUUCUUAGUUCUUUUUAGGGUUAGAAUCAUUUCAAAGACUCUAUGAAUAGAGCUAUGUAUUUCGGCCAAAGGCAUUAUAUUUUAUAAGAUCAAUAUAUCAUUUUGAAUGAAGUUUAUUUUCCUUGAGUUGUUAACUCUUGAAUUUCUUGAGAUUAAAUUAACUUGUUUAGUUUAAUUUCACAUCUACAUGUUUGAUCAAUCAAUUAAAUUUUUAUUAGUUUCUUGAGUUGUUUGAACAUUCUUCAUCUAUUUAUAACUAAAAGGGCUUAGUAGUUCUAUUGCUAAGUUUGUUAAUUCCAUAAUCAAUUACAAACUUUCAAGUUAGAUUUUGGAGCGAUAAUUCAAACUUAUUGGUAAUGGUACUUCCUCUUAAAUGGAGAGAGCGUUUAUUAGUUGAUUAUCUCACCAUUGCUUAUCUUGGUGUUUGAACGUAUCCAGUUCGAGUUCGUAUCAGACGUGCUUUGGGUAAUCAAAGAACAAUAAAAUCUCCUCCUCAUAAACUUUCUAUCUACACCAGUUUUAUAGUAGUCGGACUCCUUUAAUAAAUUGAUGUCCAAAAUUGUUUGACUAUUUCAGAGUGAUCGGUAACUUGAAUGAAGGAUCAUACAUUUGAUUUGUGAUCUAUGUAUCAUUACAAGUCUAUUAGUAUCAUCGAAUAAUCAAUCGGACUCACUCUGAAGACUAGCACCAUAUCCAUUAACAUAUGGUAUAUGAAUUAUAAAACUUAUAACAAGGAAUUAGAGUAUUUAAUUAUAUAUAAUUAUUGGUUGAUAAUUAAUUAUAUUAUUAAUAUUGUUAAACUCCUAUUAAUUAAAUGAGUUGAAGACUAAUCAGUGGAUAAGGUGGUACACCGGGUAGCUGACAAGACUCUAAGACUAUCAUGAUUGAAGAAAGUGUAGUGGACUCGGCUCUAGACUACCUUGCUGAAUUUAUGUGAUUCUUAAGGAUUUAAGCUAGUUAUCAAGACUCAAGAGGGAGCCAUGUAACAAUGAGUCUUGGUCUUGUCCACUAUUUAUCAAUCAUCCAUCUUCGAUCACCCUAUAUGCAGAAAUUACAUAAUUAAAUUUAUAAUUUCAUCUAUUUUGACAAUUUUAUUUUGAUUAAAGUUUUUUAGUUAAAUAUCUUAAAUCUAAUUUUUUUUACAUUUAAAAUAGUUGUUUGAGAGUUCAGUUUAAACAUAAGAAUUGAUUGGGAAAUUACUAAAAAAAUAAAUUUUGUGUAACAUUUAUAUAAAUAUAUAAAUGGUUUUAAUUAUAAGACAGCUACUAAAUGGAAUUGCAGAACGUUUUUACACUAUUUUUCUAAUUAAAAACAGAAAUUUUAAUAUGCCAAUAAAAAAAUUAUAUUAAUUAUGUAAAAUUAAUUAAGUAUUUAAAUUUAUAUUGAAAUAAUUAAGAUUACUUAUUGUAGUGAAAUAAUCUAAUGAAACAUAUAUUUUGGCUUUCUUGAUUUUCUAGUUCUCCAACUAUAGAGCUUCUAGUCCGUCCAUAUAAAGAAAUAGAAGCAACAUUGUAGAGAUUUGAUUUUCUCCUUUAUCAAACCCUUUUACCAAAACCAAUUUUUAGAUUUAUUUUUUCUUAUAACCAUCAAAAUCUCAAGAGUGUUUUUUUUAAAGACUACAUUGUAUUAUCCGCAUAAACGAUAACUAAUAUAUAUAUAUAUAAAUAAAUUAAAACUUCUUUUUAACUUUUACUUUUUGCCUCUUUUUAAUUUAUUUAUAUAUAUAUAAAAAUAAAUUAAAACUUCUUUUAACUUUUACAUUAAUAUAUUUAUAUAUAUUAAUGUAAAUUAAUUAUUUCAUUUAACCAUUUAACUAAAAUAUAAUUAAUUCUGGCAUAAAUUACUAACACCAUCAAGAGAAGCUAGCAUAGUGCAAGAGAUUACAGAGGUAAGGUAGUAUUCUGCAUGGCCACAAAACUGUCCCUUCGAUAUGGUGCUUAUAAUUGACUAGAACUGGAAAGCUUGCACACUUUGCAGGAUGCAGUUUUUGGCAAACUCUCAGCUCUUUUUAUCUCAUUUGCUAUUUUCUCCUUUUUUUUUUUUGGUCACACGAUGUAAUAAUCUUCACUAUAACCUCUCUCCCAUUUACAAGGCAAAGCAUAUGGUUGCUCGGCUGGUUAAAUGCUAUUAAUAAAAAUAGUAAUUCAUUAUUUUUAACAAUAAGGCACAAAGAUUUCUUGAUUUAUCAUGCUAUUGCUUUAGGAUUAUAUACAACCACAUUGAAAUAAAAAAAAAAAUCGCUACUUUAAACCGUAAAUACUAAAUCGCUACUAUGGAUUGUCGUUAAUUAUUAAAAUUCAUUGAGGAACAUGAAUUUUGCGACUGCUAUCUCAGAAUCGCUGCAUGGAAAAGAGCCAUUGUAACUUUAAAAAUUGCGGCCGCAAUUUAGCAAGCGCGUUCAAUAUUGAGCAAGCGCAACCACUAUUCUUCAGUUGUGACUGCAACAGCUCUGACAAUGCGUUUUUGCACUAGCUUGAGCUAAAAAAAAGAAGAUUGGUAAGAGUUAUGUGAGUAAUGGUUCAUUGGUAGUUUGGAACUAUAAAUACUCCCUAGAAUAUUUAUGAAUGAUGAAAAACCUCACAUUACACAAUUUAUUGAUCCUUUAAUUCUCACAUUUGUAUAUCAUUUUUAUCUUUAUAAAAGGUUGUUGUAAAGGUUUAAGUGUUAGCCUUAAACAUUUAGAUGGGUUUGAUAGUUAGCUUAGUAAUAAAAACUCUUGUAAGGAUUUGAGUGUGACCUACAAAUACUUAAAAAAAAGUUUGAGAGUUAGCAUGGAUAAAAUAACUUUUGUGAAGUUUGUUGUGAGCCUAGACACUAAGUUUGAGAGUGAGCUUGGAAAAAAUUCUCAGAUAUAGGUUUGAUGUGAGCUUGUAAAAUACUUGAGUUCGAUCUUUCACCCGCAAAAAGAAUCAGCAAUAAUAAAAUACCAAUUGAAAAUUGAGGAGUAUAUGUAGGGUUAGUUAAUAUCCAAACUAUUAUAACUCUUUGGUGUUGAUUUUUCUUCCAUCUUUAUCUAAUCUCUUGAGCAAAUUUUAAUUACCUAUCAAUCUUUUAAACACCAAUUCAACCCUUCUUCUUGGUGCAUCUAGGUCAAACAUGAAAUAAGGAUACUAAAGUUAUUUGCUUUAAAAUAAAAGGACACUAAAGAUACUACUAAUAAUAAGAAUUUAAUUAUAAUAUCCAAAAUAAGCUUAAUAGUAAUCUAUUUUACAUAUUAUUUUUAUUCUUUAUUUGUAUUUCAUACUAAUAAUUAAAAACUAAAAUUCGACCUAAUUUCAGUCACUAAUAAAUUUUUAUUGAGUCAAACGUAAACAGUAACAUGUUCGAAUCGGCUUUUGUAAUUUUCACUCAAAAUACAUUGUUAGGAAAUAUCCUAAUAUAGAAGGUGAUACUCAUGUAUGCUUUUAUAGAUGCUAGGAUAGUUAUUAUAUUUAUUUUUAAUAUAUAAAUUAAUAUUAAUAGAAGAUAUUUAACAUAUAUAUCGUUUGAAAUUAUAAUAAUUUAGAUAAAAAUAGAUAAGAUAAUUAUUAUAUAAGAUAAAAUAAGUUUAGUUAUAAAAUAUGAAUAUAAAAUUAAUUUAUAAAUACAAUAUAUAAUUUAUUAAUAGAAUAUGUAAUUAAAUGCUGUAUAAAGUACGAGUAUUAAAUUAAUUUUGUUAAUAGUUUCAAGUCCUUAAUUUAUAAAAGGUACAAAAUAACUUCUUAUGCAGGUAAUAAUAUCUGCCACUUUCACUGGGUUUGGAAGGAUCAUAAAAUAGUAUUACUAUAGUCAUCUAGAAUAUAUAAUAUUUGAAGAAUGAAAAACUAUAAAUUAUAAAAUUAUUUGAAGAAUGAAAAUCUAUAAAAUUAUUUAAAAAAAUAUUAAUUAACUUAAAAGUAAUUUAAAUAAUUAAAAUACUUGUUAAAUAGGGAGUCCUCAAUUAAAUGUACUUGUAGGUUUAUGCUCUAGCAAUGGAGCCGGACGGUUCCGCUUCAUACUUUUGAUUCUAGCUAGUUCUAACUAAUUUUUUUUUAAAAAGAAAUUAAUUAAUUAAUUUUUUUUUUUUUUUAUGAAUUGGAGUUAUAUUUGAUAUUUCUGGUUCCAGCUCAGGAGAAACUAAUCUUAAAUUAAUUUUCUGAUUCUAAGCCGAUUUCAAUUUUCUUUUAACUAAUUUAAUUUAAUUUAUUUAAUUUAUAUUUUUUAUCUAAAUAUUAAAAAUUAAUAUCAAUAAUAUUAAAAUUUAUAAAAUAGAAAAAUAAAUAAAUAAAAUUAUCCUUAAAUUCUCUCAUUCAAUUUAGGAAAGAAAGAAAUAAAUUUACCUUAUUUUUUGCAUUGGGCCAACCAACUAAGAAUUCUUUUUACAUUCUUUUCUCUAUUCUUUCUUUUAGUGUUUAGUGUUUCAACGUUUCGAAUUUAAGGUUCUUGAUUAGAUAUAUAUUUAUACAUCGGUACAUUAGCAUAUUAAUAGCUCUUCAAUCAAUAGAUAAAAGAUAUUUCUACAACUUAGUUAAUAUAUAUUUUGUUUUAUGUGAAAAGUUAUUUUUUUUAAUUUUCCGUCUGAAAAAAAUGAAAAAAUAAAAUUUGUAUGAUAAACUAUGAUUAGUUUAUUUAUAUUAUAAAUAACUAAUAAUAUUAGCAUCUUUAUAUUAGCAUCAAAGUUUGAAAGAGACGUUUUUUCGUUGGAAGUUUAAAACAUUGCCAACCCUACCAUGAAAAAGCUGAUGAUAGAGCUUUUUCUAACUCGUGCAUUUUGCUCCGUCUGUUUCAUAGAAAAUAUAUUCUAGAAAAGCAUUUACAAUUUCUUUUUUGUUUAUGAAAAGAAAUUUGGGGUCAAAACAAUUCAGCCAUUUUCUAAAAACAACGAUAUUUUACGUUAAAAAAUAGAAAACAGCCAUUUUCUAUUCAUUGGUGAUAUUUAAAAUAUUUUUCAAAAAACUAAUAUAUAUAUAUAUCCUUUCACAUAUUAAUUAUCCUAAAUCACUUCCGAUGAUCUUUAACGACCUCUAAUAAUACGUAUCUCAUGUUGGUCCUGAGACAAUCAUUAAAAAUAUACUUAAUAAUACAGUAAAAUCUUUUUAUAUUCAUGCACUUGAAAUUAAAUAAAAUUUAUCAUUAUGAGGAUAUUAUAAUUUAAUGGAGGUUUGAAUACUAAUCUUUUUUUACUUUAAUACUUAUUUUUUUGGUGAAAUAAUAGCAACUAGAAAUAAAGCACGCUAAUAUCUUGUCAUAUUAUACAAAUAUGAUUAAUGAGACAAAAAAUAAUACAGUAAGAUAAAAAAUAGCAUAUAUUUUUAAAAUAUAUAUAUACAAAUAUUAUUAUAUAAAGAAAGAUUUUUUAAGAUGAGAUUUAAAAAUUUAUAACUUAUUACGAUAUAAAAUUUAUUUUUCUUUAUAACUGGUUCAAAUUAAGAUAGAUUUUUUUUUAAUAAAUUCUCAUCUUAAAAAAUAUCUAUACGGUACUUUUUAUAAUGAAUCAAAAGUUUAAUACAUUUUUGUUAUAAAGUGUAAAACUUAUUGAUUAUAUAUGUAAUUUACUCUCUAGAUGUGCCGGAUCAGUAUUAUUAAAAUUAAAAUGUAGUAACUAUUUAAUUAUAAAUAAAAAAUUUGAUAUCCUUUUAUCAUAAAGUAUAAAAUUUAGAGACCACCAAUAUAAUUUAUUUGAUCAACGCGAGCCUGUGUCUUUCUUAAAGAUGAUUGGUUUGAGCUAUACGAUGUAGAAUAGAAAUGUGAGCUUGAAGACAUCCUCUACGUUUUGAAAUAGUACGAGAGCUUUAGGCUCGAGAUGGAUCUAGGAAUUUAUUUUCUGUUUAAAAAGCUCAAAUGUAUUGAGAAAAAAUAGAUAAAACGACAUCUUAUAUUUCUAAAGAAACUGGGUUGGAAUUGGGUUAGGCUAGGUUUUAGGAUAGAGAUUUGGUUUAAAUGGUUUUAUGAUUAGGAAAAAAUUUGUCAAUUUUUCAAAAUAUGUAUCAAUCUAAUAUUAGGUGUUGAUUGGUCCAAAUUGUAUAUAGAUAUUUAAAGGUAUUUUAGAGAUUUAACGGUAUAUUUCUAUAUAUAAUAUGAUGUAAAUAUGUGUUCUUACCACACUUUAGUUUUCUUAUUUAAUUUUAGAAAAUAAUCGUCAAAGAUGAGAAUUUGAGCUAAAAACGCACUAAUGGGCUUUAAUUGAACUUCAGCUGUAAAAGGCUCGGAAAUCAGACAUAUGGGCUAUCAAUAGGUUGGGUUUAGCUGAAUUCAUUAAGGCCCAAGAAGGAGGAUUUAAGUAAUUAUGAUGUAAUUAGUGGAUAAUUAUCUUUUAAGUUGUUUACUUUGUUUAGGACAGUAAGAAAUAAUUAUAGUAGUUAUAUAUUGAGAAUAGAACUCUAACAAUAGGAUCUCUAUAAGAAAUAGAGAUUAAUUAAAAUGGGAGAGUUUAGCUAAUACUAUUCUCCCUGAAGAAAGGAUUCUACUAGUCUCUGCAGAAAUUUCUAUAGUUCAUCAUUUUCUACAUCUAACUAGUUUUGUUGCAUCAUUCUUUCAAAAAUCAAAGAAGCUUUUUAAAGAUGUGGAGAGAGAGGAUCAAUCUUCUGCAUUUCUUGAAGGGACUUUGAACUUUGAGGGAGUUUUAAUUUUAUGUUUUAUGUAUCUUAUGUCUUUCUAUUUAAUUACAAUGAUCAUCGAAUUAAGUAUAAUAGGUUAAGUUCUAUAAGUGUUUGAUUUGGCUUUUUACUUAUGUAUGAACCUUAUAUAUUAUGAGUUUAAUGAAUAAUUUAUUUCCUUUCAUAUAUGCAUUAGUUUCAUCUACUAUUAUUGGUUGACCACCAUAUCAAUUUAGUAGUAAUAUUUGUUAUGAAAAUCUUUAGGUUAAAUGUAUUAGAAACAUCAUCUUUAUUUUAAUUUAUAUUGGUAUAAGAAACCUAAGUUGCAUCAUUAGCUUGAGUGACUUAGAGAAAAAUGUAUAUUGCCAUUUCAUUUGUUAGAUUUGGACUUAAGGGAAAUAAGGGGAUUAUUAAAUAUAAACUAGACUAAAUGCUAUUUUAUCAUAUAGUUAUUAUUAAUCAUUCUAGUUGCAUAUUUAUUUUCUGGUUAUUUAAUUUCUUUUAUAAAUUUUAAUAUCAUUCUCAGAACAUUAACUUAGAGUGUUUAUAUUUAUUUUUAGUAUUUUGUGUGAUAGUUGAUCUUUAUAAUAUAUGUUCUACAAUUGUGAGAUCGACCUCGUAGUGAGCUUGCCCAAACUAUCAUUCAGCUCAUAUAUUUGCGAGUACUAAUUUAGACACAUCAAGUUUUCGGUGUCGUUGCAGGGGAAUUAUGUCAAUAUUAUAUUCAUUAAUUGUCGGGUAGUGUUUCUUGUGUUUUUGUAUGUUGCAUGUUAUUUAUCUCUGUUUUAUUUUUAAAUUCCGUUCUUAAGUUUUUAAAUUUGAAAUUUUUUCUUUGAUUUUGUAUACCUAGCAGGAAAACGAGAUCAGGUGAUUCAUAAACUCAAAAUUCCUACAAUUUGAUAUCAACUGUUAAAAAGGAAAAAGGAGACCAAUAGGUAGAGAGUGAGUUUGUACCUCCAAGAGAAGAAGAAUUUAAAGAAAAGCUAGAACAAGGGUUCGAAGGAGAAGUUGAGAUAAUGACUAAUGACCAAAGAGAAGUUGCAGCUCAAAGGCAAAUGGCUAUGAAGGACUAGGCUUGUCCUAUAAUUGGGUAACACUACUUCAUGCAUAAUUUUAGGUGAUGCAUCUAGGAAUUAUAAACUAAAGAAUAUCCAUUUUAAUAUGCUUUCGUCAUUUUAUGGUAUUGCCUAGUGAGGAUGCAUUGACAUUCAUUAUAGAGUUUUAUGCUAUAGUUCAUACAUUCCCAUUACCUCGACUCAAUGAGGACCAAUUAAAGAUGAGAUGUUUUCCUUACUCAUUAAAAGACAAAGCAAAGGCUAGGUUAAUGACUUUACCUCCUAAUUUUUUAAGAACUUGGAAUAAAGUUUAUAAAAAAUUUAUGAGUAAAUUUUACUCAUGUCAAAAGACUAGAAAAUUAAGGGCUGAAAUUUUUAACUUUUAUCAAAAGGAUAUUGAAUCCUUUCAUGAAGCAUGAGAUCGAUUCAAAUCACUUUUACAACAAUGUCCACACCAUGGAUACCCACUUUCUAUGACCAACCAAUCGCUCUAUGGUAGUCUAACACAAUAAUAUUAAUGUAUGGUUGAUAAUUCAGCUGGGGGUGCUAUGGUAGAAAGAACUGUUGAUUAGAUUUAUGACAUCUUUGAGGUGUUAUGAGCCAAUUGACAAUAAAAGAGUCUAAGAACAAAAAGAGUAGGAGUGAAUGAAGUUGUGUCUAAUAAUGGGAUGGCUAUGCAAAUAGCUGAAUUAACUAAACAAGUUAGGAUUCUUGCUUCAACUGAGAAUGUACAAAGCAAUAAGGUAUAUGGUAUAUGUGGUGUUUAUGGUCACGUUGCUAACGUUUGUUCGUCUUAUGAGACUUGUGCAGGAGAUGAUUAUGUACAUGUUAAUUUCAUAGAAUUUUAUCAUCCUAGGCAACCUAGAAAUAACCCAUACUCCAAAACUUAUAAUCCAGGAUGGAUGAAUUAUCCAAAUUUCUCCUAGAGAAAUAACGAUCAUAAUCAACCACAAAUACUGAGAAAUCAAAACCAGUCCCAGUAUCAGAAUCAAGAGCCUCAAUACCCAAGGAAUCAAAACCCUCAAUUCCCCAUCAAGGACAAGCCCUUCAAAGAAAACCAAGUUUGGAAGAAAACUCGAAUCUUGUAUGACAGCUACCCAUGAUAGAAUGGAAAGGAAUGGGAAGAAAACUAAUUCCAUAAAAGCUUCAAUGAAGUGAUUAAAAAUUCAAGUUAGGUAAAUUGAUGAAGCCGUAUGAGAAAAUAAGAAAGAGAAAUUGCCAAGUCAACUUGAGCAAGCUAAAAAGCAAUCGCUGUUCUUAAUGAUGGUGAGUUAUUUGAUAAUGUUGAAAAUUAAUUGAGAAAAAUAUUCUUACUCAGGUACAUCAAAAGAAGAUAGACUAGUUAAUGUAGAAAUAAUUGAAGGAGGCUUAUAAAAAGAAGAAAGAGUAUAGCCAAAUCUUAGGUAAAAAGAGAAAGACAAUAAGACUUUUUAGGACCUAAGUUUCAUAAAGCAGCUGAACCUUAUAAACCUCCUAUUCCGUUUCCAAACAGAUUGAAAGAAAGAAAACAGGAUAAACAAUUUUCUGAGAUUUUUGAUAUGUUUUCUAAGGUUAACAUUAAUUUACCCUUGUUGGAUGUGAUUAGGAAUAUUGCUAGCUUAAGCAAAAAAUUUUUAAGGAACUUAAUUCCAACAAGAGGAGAUAUGGGAACAAUGAAAAAAGUUAUGGCAUCUAAAAUAGCAAGUGUAAUUCUCCAACAAUAAUUACCUCCUAAGAUGAAAGACUUUGUGAGCUUUACUACUGAUAUUACAAUGGGAGAUAAAAAAGUUGCUAAAGCCAUGUUGGAUUUGGGAGCAAGCAUCAAUUUGAUGCCAUAUUCAAUAUGUGCACAACUUAGUUUAGGAGAAUUGAAGCCAACUACUAUGUCUCUGUAACUGGCUGAUAGGUCAAUUAAGUAUCCAAGAGGCAUAGUGGAAGAUUUGCUGAUUCAGGUAGGAAAACCGAUAAUCCCUACUGACUUUGUGGUUCUUGACAUGGAAGGUACAUCGGCAAGGGAUAAGGAGCAAACAAUACUCCUUGGUAGACCUUUCAUGGCAACUACUAAGACAGUUAUUAACGUGCACAAUAGGAAGCUGACUAUGACAGUUUUGGUAGAGAUUGUAGAAUUUAAAGUGUUUAAUUCUUUAACUAUAUCUCCUAACACUUCAAUUGAUGAGUUCAUAUGUUGAUUGUAUAGAUUAUUUUAUUUAUAAAACAUAUUUACAGGAUAAGAAUGAUAAGUUAGAAGUCGUAUUAACAUUAGAAAAGCAUGAAGAAAAUUUAAAUAAAGAAGUCUUAGACUUACAUGAUAGUUAGAUGAAGCUAUUCUAUUGUUACCUGAUGAAAAUACUAUCGAACCUUUAGAUUCACCCAUUGGAAUCAAAUCAGAAACUACUAAUAGACCACCUAAAGUUGAGCUUAAGGAGUUGCCUAACAUACUCAAAUAUGUCUUCUUAGGAGAAAGGAGUAUGUAACCAGUGAUCAUAGCCUCUGAUCUUUCUCCUUCAGAGGAAGAGGCAACUAUUAGAGAAUUGAAAAGACCUAAAAAAAACUAUUGGGUGAGAAAUUUCUGAUAUUAAGGGGAUUAGUCCAACAAUGUGUAUGCAUAAAAUUAUUUUAGCAAACAAUUCUAAAGCUGUUAGAGAUACACAACGAUGACUUAAUCAUAACAUGAAAGAAGUUAUAAGAAAAAAAAAAUCAGAAGUUAUUGGAUGAGGGUAUUAUAUACCCUAUAGCUGAUAGUAAUUGGGUAAGCCAUGUUCAUGUAGUGCCUAAAAAGUCAGACACAACAGCUGUUAAAAAUGAAAAGGAGGAAUUAGUCCCCACAAGAAUGACAACAGGAUGGAGAAUGUGUAUUGAUUAUAGAAAUUUAAAUGUUGCAACAAAGAAUGAUCAUUUUCCUCUUCCUUUUAUUGAUCAAAUAUUAGAGCGUUUAGCAAGAUAUGAAUUUUAUUGUUUUCUUGAUGGACUUUCAAGAUAUUAUUAGGUACGCAUUGCAUCUGAAGAUAAAAAAAAAAAAAAAAGACAACUUUCACAUGUCCCUUUGGAACUUUUGCAUUUAGGAGGAUGCAUUUUGGGCUUUGCAAAGCUCCAGCAACAUUCCAAAGAUGUAUGCUUUCUAUUUUCUCUGACAUGUUGAAGAUAAUAUCGAGGUAUUUAUGGAUGAUUUUUCAGUUUUUGAUUCCUCAUUUGAUGCAUGUCUAAGCAAUCUGAUUCGUAUUCUCGAGGUCUAAUUCACUCUUCCACUGCUGUAAACGAGUCAAAACAACAAGCAUAGAAACAAUAAUUAAGAAAUCGAGCCAUGAAAAAGAUUCAACAAAAAUUUAUUUUAGCCAUCUAACUAAUGAUUUAAGAUAAAUAUUAAAUUUUAAUAGAGCUCUUUUACUUUUCAGACCAUAAAUUAUAUAUUAAAGAAAAUAAAUAAAUAAGAUAAAAAGUAAUUUUGUAAUUUUAGUAAAAACUGAUGGCAAUAUAACUAAAAAUUAGACGAAAAUACCUUCUAGCAUAAUAUGAAAAAAGAGAGAUUUUAAAAAUUGAGGUCUUGAUUAACGUAAUAUUAUAAACCCCAAGAAAAAAUUAGUAUUAGAGAUAAAUUAGAUUGGAGGUACUAAAUUAUGCAUUUUGUAACAAAAAUUUAUUAAAUUUUUAAUAUAACUAGAUGGUCACUAAACUUUAAUUUUAAUAACAUUGAUAAUUUUUUCAAAAAGUGUGAGGAUUACAUUAGCAGUUACCAAACUUUACACUUUCUAACAAAAAAAUAUUAAAAUUUUAAUUUUAAAAGAUACAUGACCGGUGCUUUUCUUGUAACAAAUUAAAGGUUUAAUAUAUUUUUGUUACAAAAUGCAAAAUUUAGUGACUGUCCAUAUAAAUUUACUAUCUAAUUGCGACGAAGAAUUCUACUAGUGUUACUAAAAUUAAAAUUUAGCAACUAUUUAAUUAUAAAUCAAAUAUUCACUAUAUUUUUAAUACAAAAUGUAAAGUGUAAUAAUCGCCAAUGUAAUUUACUGAUAACAUUACCCAAAAUAUUUAUUUGUAUACCAAAUGAAAGAAACUGCAACUUAAAAUCGAUAAUAUUUCUUAUACAUCAGUUAUGGUAAAAACAUCGCAUUUAACAUCAUCCCUUUGCAAGGUUGGUUUCAGUAGAUUUCUUAAUUAAUCACAAUUUUUUCACAAACCAAGACUUUAUUAAAGCAGAAUUUGGGUAAGGUACCCAGUAGAAAAACUGACCAACCAUAUCAACAAAAAAUGGAAAAUGAAUCGCUACAAGAACAAAAAUAAUAUAAAACAUAAAACGCACGCGAUAAAGUCACUCUCUUGUAACAGUUGCCUUUGCCGAGUUGUCUGCAUAUUUUCAAUACUUAUAAAUUAGUCUAAUAUGUUUAAUUUGGAAGCAUGCAUGUGAUUAUGCCGGGUACAAAUUUGCAGGCAAACGUGGCUUUGCGAGUGCAACUAAUGGUUUGGCAAGUUCCAAACUAUUCUUAGACUCUGAAAGAUCAAUGCUUGUCUCAUUAGGGGGCACGCUCCAGCUAAACCCUUGAAGAAGCCUAGCAAAUAACAUAACAGUCAUUGCAGUUCCCAACAUGAUGCCUGGACAACCUCUUCGUCCUGUACUAAAUGAAAGCAAGUUCAAAUCAGGCUGCGUCAGCAUCACUUGACAUCCACUUUUCUUGAAAUGACGCUCUGGUUUGAACAUGUGUGGUUCAUCCCAAAUCCGGGGAUUCCGGCCGAGGCCGACUCGGCUAAGCAAGACAUGGCUACCUUUCGGAAUAAAAUAGUUAGCAACAGUUGUAUCUGCUAUGGAGACAUGAGGAAGAUUGAAGAAGACAAUAGGGUGGAGGCGAAACGCUUCUUUAGCACAUGCUUUUAUGUAAUUGAGCUGUGGAAAAUCUGCCUCUUGGACUAGUCUCUCCCUUCCAACAACUCUAUCCAAUUCUUCUACUGCGUUCUCAAGAAGUUUCGGUUUGUUUAUCAUCUCUGCAAGUGCCCAUUCUAUAGCAUUUGAUGGAUUAUCCACUGCUGCCAGCAUUAUUUCCUGCAAAAAUUGAUAGGUGAUAUUUAGCUUUGUUGAAAUCAGUUGGUGGGAACUAUAGUAAUUAAAAUGGAAGAUGCAAUAAAUUUGAAUCUUAACCAACAUAUUGCCGAACUGAAAAUGAUGAACUGAGCUUCUUGCAAGAAAAGAACAUGCAAAUGGAAUUUUCCUUAAUUCCAUUUCAACAAUCAGGCAGAAAAAAUGUUAUAUUUGAGAUAUGUUGUAUAUGUUGGACAACUUUUAUGGGGGAGAAGAAGUAGAUAAACAUAAUAAACUAUUUCUAUAAUUAAAGUACACAAGACACUUUAUCUCUUAACAAGAGAUAGCUUUCCACCCCUAUCUCUUAACAAGAGAUAACUAUUUCUAUUGUAAGUUAUUUAUAAUAGCACUUGUAUAAUUUUUCACUUACAAAUUUAACUAGUGAUAUUCAUAGCACUUAAUAAUCUAACCUUUCAUAUACUUAGAGCUUUAGCAUAACUAUAGACUCUCUUUAACAACUAAUCACUCUUAAAACAAUAGUAGCAAAUAUUGAAGUUUACAUUCAAUAGUAUGCAUCUGAGAUAGAGUGAGAGAGACAGAGCUUACAGUAAUCUGAGCUUUAAUCUCUUCCAUUGACAGCAACGAGUUGCCAUUGGCAUCUUCUAAAUGUAUGAAAACGUCAAGCAAGUCAUCCACUUCCUUCUUAGUGCCAUCCCUCCAUUGUUCGAUCCUCGCUUCAAUUAUGGGAUCUUGAUAUUUUUUUAUGAUCCCAAUAGCAUCCUUCAUGAUCUUCUCAUGACCAUCCAAGUCAAGCCCUAUCAAGCAUGGCAUAUAAUCAGACACACUAAAUGCAUAGGUAUGAGCAAGGGCUGUUAAAAUCGCAUCAACAUGCUCUUUUUCCUCGACACCAGGCCCUCCGUCCUUCAUUCCCUCCCCGAAGAACCUUUUGUUAAACACCAUCUUCCUUAUUACAUUUCCACAAUAGUGCCGUCCAGUGAUUCUCACGUCAACUGAUCCACCUUCCUCGGCAGUCUUGCAUUGGUUAUACACAUAACGAACAAGGUGAUCAGCUUCUUCAAGUCUUUUUCCGUAAAACCACUUAUAUUUUUCCGCAGAAAGAACUUGCGUUACCAGCACUCUCUUCAUUUUCUUCCAUUGUUCUCCUAAGGGCACAAGANNNNNNNNNNNNNNNNNNNNNNNNNNNNNNNNNNNNNNNNNNNNNNNNNNNNNNNNNNNNNNNNNNNNNNNNNNNNNNNNNNNNNNNNNNNNNNNNNNNNNNNNNNNNNNNNNNNNNNNNNNNNNNNNNNNNNNNNNNNNNNNNNNNNNNNNNNNNNNNNNNNNNNNNNNNNNNNNGUUCAUUUCUUUCAUGAGCUUGUGUAUCCAUCGAAAGGUCGGCUUAUUGCUAGCAUCGUUGGCAGGCAUCCGACAAGAGGCCAAGGUUUUGGGCCAGGAGGUAGUAGGAGUUGCUUGGCCUUUUGGCUUUCUAGCUUUUGGAAUUUCGUCAAGUAAAUUAAGGCCAACGCCAAGAGAAGAACUAGGGAACAGGAGCUCAACAAUGUUCUGAGAAAGCCAAUGCCAAUUCCGGAAAAAUCUGGAGUGCCAUGAAGAGAAGCUAGCCCAGUGCAAGAUAUUACAGAGGUAGCGUUCUGCAUGGCCACAAAACUGUCCAUCGACAUGCUGCUUCUAUUUAAUAGAACUGGAAAGCCUGCAUACUUUGCAGGAUGCUUUUCUAGCAAACUCUCAGCUCUUUUAUCUCAUUUGCUUUUUUCUUUUCCUUCUUUUUUUGUUUACACAAUGUAAUAAUUAACUCUAUAACCUCUCCCAUUUAUAGGGCUGAAUCCAAAAUCUACGAUGUAAUUCAAUAUAGCAAUGCAAUAGAACGAUUUGUUACAUCUGAAUAAUACAGGACGCGUGAUCCGUAUUUAUACUUGUAUCUUAAUAACUCUACUGUAUAUACCAUAUAUUUGAGCUUUUAUUUAUACAUUUAUCCAAAUCAUAUAUUAACUAUAUAUUAAAUCUUCUUCUAUUCAUUUAUACAAACCAUUUACACAUUAUGGAAUUCAAGUUUAGUUUGGCCACACAACAUAUAUUAUUAUUAUUUAAGGUAUCAUUUUUAUUUUCUUUUGAUUUCAUAACUAACCUCGUUUAUGCAUUCAUAUAUAUAUACAUGUCUAAAAUAAUAUUUCAUAACUAUUCUUGUAAUCUGAUCGCGUUUGAUAAGCGAUUAUAAAAAAAAUUAAAAUUAAGAUAAAACGAGCUAAAGAUAUGAAAAAGUAACUGAUGAGAUGAAAUACAAGGGCUUUGCAGUGGCAACUUUUAAGUCUCGAAAUUUUUUACCUAAAUUUAGUGUAGGUACUCGCCUAUAUAUUAAAAUAAUAAAUAAUAUUUAUUAAUUUUAAAUGAUAAAAUAUAUGCCGAUUAUUUAAUACUAAAGUAUAAAACACUGAUACAUGUAUAUCACUUUUCUGUUAAGUAUAGUGUAUACAUCAAGUCUAAAUAAAAAUUUUUAGUCUUUUCAUAUUAUUUCCGUAACAGUUUAUGGCCGAUAGAGUUUCGUGUUGUUAUACUAUACAGUCCCAUAAAAAAGAUAAAAAAAAAUAAAUAGUUAGAUGCUGUUUGAACAAAGCCGUUACACGCUGAUGUCACCCAACUAUCUAAUUUGGCUCCUUCGUCAACCACCCACAACCACUGUCCACCUUCAUUGUUGCUAGGGCUAAGUUUGCCAGCAACUCUUCUGCUCCCAACUAGUGUCCUGGCCUCCCUCUCUCUCUCUCUCCUAACCUUCCUUCCUCCCCCUACCCGUUUCCUUUUUAUUCUUCUCCCUUUUCGUUUUUUACUCACCCCUAGUUAUUUACCCUUAAACCCCUAACUUGUAUUUAUCCUUUCAAUUAAGCCACUAAUUUGUUAAAUUUGGGCUAAAUUAGUUACAAUUAUUAAAACAUGAAAAAUAUUUUGAUUUAGUGUGACACCUUUACAUCUAAAUCCCAUAUUUAAAUCAAACUUUUAUUUUAACCCCGUUUUAUAUAAAUAAAUAUUAGUUUAAUCCAAGUACUUAGUUAAUUUACUGGAUCAAAUUCAUUAAAAUCUAAAUACUCAAAUAAUUACUAUUGUUAUAGCACUGUAAAUACCAAAAUUAAAUCCUUUAUUAAGUCCCAUUAUAUUAUUUAUUUAAAUAAUACACCUUACCUAAAUCAAAUAAAUAAAUUCCAUAAAUAUCUCAUUAUUAUUAAUACUAAAGAUAAACAAUUAAAUAGCACUUUAAUUUUAGGUUACUAAUAGGUUGAUAUUAUGUAUAUAUAAUUAAGGCUUUUAGUGAUUUAUUGGUAUGUUUUAUAUACAUAAUAUGUAAAAAUAUGUACUUAUUAUCUCACUUUAUUUUUAUUAGCUAAUUUCAGAUCAUAAUAACCAAAGAGAGAAAAUAUGAGCCAAGAAUGUAUAAAUAGACUUUAAUUGGAUUGCAGCUGUAAAAGGCUCGGAAUAAAGGCUUAGCUGAGUUUAUCAAGGCCUACGAAAGAAAAAUUAAUUAGUUAUAAUGUAAUUAACAUAAAUUAUCUUUUUUAAGUUGUUUAUUUUAUUUAGGGUAGUUAAGAGAUAACUAUUGCGGUAUUAUGCUUAGAGAAGGACUCUGAAUAAGGAAUCUCUACAAGAAAUAGAGCAGUUAAACAAGGAGAGCAUCAUUCUAUUAUUCUUCUCUCUGUGAAUUUCCUAUAGUCCGCCUUCUAUAACAUUUAGUUAGUUUUGAUCAGAGAAGUUUUUCAGGACGUGGAGAAUGAGGGUCAAUCUUCUUCAUUUCCUGAAGAAUUUUUGGAUUUUAAGAGAGCUUUAAUUUUUAUUUUAUAUUUCUUAUUUCUUUUUAUUUAAUUACAAUGACCUUUGGGUUAAAUAUGUCAGGUUAAGUUCAAUAAGUGUUUAGUUUGGCUUUUUACUUAUGUAUGUACCUUAUAUAUUAUGAGUUUAAUAAAUUAUUUCUUUAUCUUCAUACAUAUAUUAGUUUCAUCUAUUAUUGUUAAUUGACCAUUAUAUCAAUUUAAUAGUAAUAUGUGUUAUGAAAAUCUUUAGGUUAAAAGUAUUAGAUACAUCAUCUUUACUUUAAUCUAUGUUGGUAUAAGAAAUCUACAUUAAAUAUUUCAUUUGCAUUUUUAUUUUGUAGUUUAUUUAAUUUCUUUCGUAAACCUUCAAAAUAUUCUCAAAACAUUGCCUUAGAGUGUUUAGAUUUAUUUUUAUAUUAUAGUUGGUCUUUAUAAUAUAUGCUCUACAGUUUCUUGUGAGAUUGACCUCAUGGUAAACUUGCCCGUACUAUCAUUCGGUUCGUACAUUUGCGAGUACUAAGCUUGAGAAAUCAAGUUUUUGGCAUUGUUGCCGGGAAACUAGGUCAAUAUUAUAUUGAUUAAUUAUCGAGUUAUAUUUCUUGUGUUUUUGUGUGUUGCAUGUUUAUGUGUUUUUGUUUUGUCUUUAAAUUUUUCUUUUUAAGUUUUUAAAAUUUGAAAUUUUUCCUUUGGUUUUGUAUACCUAGCAGAAAAAUAAGAUCAGGUGAUUCAUCAACUCAAAAUUCCUAAAACUUGAGAUCAGCUGUUAAAAAGGCGGAAAGAGACCAAGAAGUUGAGAGUGAGUUUAUACCUUCAAGAGAAAAAUAAUUUGAAGAAAAGUUAGAAUAAGGAUUUGAAGAAGAGAUUGAAAUAAUAGCUAAUGACCAAAGAAAAGUUGCAGCUCAAAGGCAAAUGGCUAUGAAAGAUUAUGCUCGUCCCAUAAUUGGUAACGCUACUUCAUGCAUAGUUCUAGGUGAUGCAUCUAGGAAUUAUAAACUUAAAAAUAUUCAUUUUAAUAUGCUUUCUUCAUUCUAUAGUAUGCCAAGUGAAGAUGCAAAUUUAUUUGGCGAUUUUAUGCUAUAGUUCAUAUAUUUCCAUUAUCUCGAUUAAAUGAAAACCAACUAAGGAUGAGAUGUUUUUCUUAAAUUAUAAUAUUUAAUUGAAUAUAGUGUUAUAAUAUUAUAUUAUAUUAACAUAUUGAAUUAUAUUAAAAUAUUGAAUCAUACUAAAAUUUUAAUAUUGAAUUAUAUUAAAAUAAAAAUAAAACAAAAAUAUUCAAUUAUAUAAUUAUUAUUUUCUUAGAAUUAUUUAAUAUUCAAUAUAGAAUUAUUUAAUAUAUAAUAUAAUUUUAAUUUUAAUUAUUUAAUUAUUUAAUAUAUCCCAUUAUCUCGACUAAAUAAAAACCAGCUAAGGAUGAGAUGUUUUCCUUACUCAUUAAAAGAGAAAGCAAAGGCUUGGUUAAUCAGCUUGCCUUCUAAUUCUUUGAGAACUUGGGAUGAAGUUUAACAAAAAUUUAUAAGUAAAUUCUACUCAUAUCAAAAGAUUAAAGAAUUAAGGGCUGAAAUUUACAACUUUUAUCAAAAAGAUAUUGAAUCCUUUCAUAAAGCAUGAUAUCGCUCCAAAUCAUUUUUAAUGUAAUGCCCACACCAUGGAUACCCACUUCCUGUGACCAACUAAUCAUUCUAUGAUGGUUUAACACAACAAUAUCAAUAUAUGGUUGACAAUGCAGUUGAUGGUGCUAUGUUAGAAAAAAAUUGUUGAUGCGGGUUAUGAUAUUUUUGAGAUGUUAGAAGCCAAUUGACAACAGAAGAGUGUAAGAAUAAAAAAAGUAUGAGUGAAUGAAGUUGUGUCUAAUAAUGAGAUGCUUAUGUAAUAGCUGAAUUAACAAAAAAGUUAAAAUACUUACUUCAACUAGGAAUGUACCAAGCAAUAAAGUAUCUAGUAUAUGUGGUGUUUAUGGUCAUGGUGCUAAAGUUUACUUAUCUUAUGAGAUUUAUGCAGGAAAUGAUUAUGAACAGGUUAAUUUGAUGGAAUGUUAUCAACCUAGGAAUAGUCCAUACUCCAGCACUUACAAUCCAGGAUGGAGGAACCAUCCAAAUUUUUUCUAGAGAAAUAAUGAUUAAAAUCUACCACAAAUAACUUAGGUUGCAUCAUUAGCUUGAGUGACUUAAAGAAAAAGGCACAUCACUAUCUCAUUCAUUAGAUUUAGACUUAAAGGGAAAUAAGGGGAUUACUAAGUAUAACUAAAUGUUAAUUUAUCAUAUAAUUUACAUUAAACAUUUCAUUUGUAUAUUUAUUUUCUAAUUUAUUUAAUUUCUUUUAUAAACCUUCAAAACUUUUCAAAAUAUUAACUUAGAGUGAUUAGAUUUAUUUUAAAGUAUUUUUAUGUGAUAGUUGGUCUUUAUAAUAUAUGCUUUACAAUUUCUUGUGAGAUCGAUCUCGUAGUAAAUUUGUCUAUACUAUCAUUCAAAUCGUACACUUACAAAUACUAAAUUUGAGACAUCAGUCACUUUAUUCAAAAUAAUAAAUCAUAUGCCCAUUACUUGAAUAUAUCAGAUGUGUAUUACUUGAUUAGUUUGAGAUUAUUAUUAUUAUUAUUCCUCUAAUUUGUAUGUACUAAUUUAUUAUUUAUUUUCAAAUAUUAAAUUGUAUAAAAUAUCUAGAUAUUAAGUUGUAGAAAACUCGAGAUGUCAAAUACUAUAUGAGUUACAUUUAUAAAUUUAACAUGAAUGAUAAAUAUAUGUUUCAGUAAAAAUAACAAUUAAGUUUGAACUUUCCUCCAUGUUUGUCAUGAAAAACUGUACACUUGCAAUGGGAAAAAUAAUAUUAUGUGAUUCUUAAGGAUUUAAGGCUUAGUUAUCAAGAAUCAAGAGGCUUGAUCUUGGUCUUGUCCUCUACUGAUCAAUCAUUCACCCCAAUUUAAGCACUUUGCACGUUGUUAUUUCGAAGAAAGAAAAAUUGUACGAUUUUAUGCAAGAAUUUACAACCAGGUAUUUAAGAUCCAUUGAGAUAACAGUCUGCCCCACCGAGCAAUAUUGAGAUAACAGUACACAAUAAGCUUUAUGCGUAUUCAAUAUUGUCCAGAAGACAAUAUAUUUUUUCUGGCACCUCAUAUUUAAAGUGUAAUAUCUUAGAUCACAUAAAUAAAUAUAGAGAAAAUUAUAUUUAUAUAUAAAAAACUGUAACACCCGGAAUUUUUUUUAUAUUUAAUAAUAAAUUUUUAUUUAAGUUAAUUUUAGCUUUAUUUUUAUUCGGUUUAAUUGGAAUGAUUUAAAUACAAAUUUUGAAUGUUCAUGUUAGAUAAAUAAAUGAGUUAUUUUCUAUACCCAAUUAGUUUGAUUUUUAAGAAAUUAUUCAAGUAAAUUAUUUGAGAAAUGAUUAUAUUUUGGUUAUUCAAAAUUUUCCCAAAUGCAUAUUUAUAUAAGUAAAAUUAUAUAUUGGAAAAUUAUGGUAGAAUUGUAAAGGAUGUUUAUAAAAGAAUUUUGAAAAAAUUGGUAUUAUAAUUGAUUAGUAGUAUUAAAUAUUAAGUUGGAAAUUGAUUAUUUAAUUUAAUUGUGUGUAAGGACUAAAUUGAAAAUUUAUUUUGGAAUAAGGAUUGAAAGUAUAAUGUUAUUUUUAUGGGGUUUUAAUGGAAAUUUGUGAGCUUGGUAUUUUUGUAAAUAAAUAUGUCGGUAGGGGUAUUUUUGUAAUUGUGUAUUUUCAAUAAUUCGGUUUUGGCCCAAAUUAAAUAGUUAGGGGCUUAAUUGAAAGGCUAAAAAGAAGUUUGGGGGUUAAAUUGGAAUUCUGCGGGAUGAAAUUGUAAGUAAUUAAGAAAGUUGAGGGACCAAGUUGUAAUAAGGAAACGUUCGAGGGCCUAAUGUCGAUAUUGAAAGAAAGAAAAGAAGGAUCGGGGAAGGAAGAGAGGAGAGAGAGAGAGAGCCGAAGAAGAAGGAGGAGCUGCGGUGGCGUGCGUCGUCGGAGUGGCUUCAGAAGUGCGCGGGCUGGCCGGCGAAGCUGCAGGCGUCAGCGGCGGCAGCGGCAGCGGCACCAGCGGGCGACGGCAGCAGCUCUCGCGCGAGGAGGAAAAUGGCCGAAGCUUCCUUGCCGCCGUGCGAGCGUUUCCGGCGUCGGUGGCUGUUGACCUUGGUGCCGAUCGACUCCUCUCGGCCUCGGCUUUGUUUUGGCGGCGGCGGCGUCGACAGUGGUGGCCGGAAUCGGAAGAUCCGGUGGAGAAAGAAAAUGGUGGCAGCUGGCGUUUUUGGGUUUUUCCGGUGAGAUCCGGCGGAGAAUGGACGAUCGGAGGGCAUAUCCCGACUCUCCUCUGCUCAAGCUUCGCGAUGGCACCGGUUUCGUGGCGAUCGGGCUUCGUUUGCGAAUCGACGGCCGUGAUCGUCCGCAAAUUUCUCCGGAUGAUCGGGUGUCAGAUCGAAAAAUCGGAAGCGGGAAUCGUCAUCAGCGCGUCGUUGUGAGUCCGAUGGUGUGUCCAGAUCGUUGAUCGGACUCCGGCGGCCGGAGGCGAGUCGAUCGAGCGUCUCGGUAAUUUUCUCUGGCCGUUGAUCUUAGAAAUCCUUGAUUUUAAAUUUGUGUCUAUUGGAUGGUAUUGUGUACUUGAUGAUUUUUAUGAGUCAAAAAUAAUUGUCUGUCAGUUGGCCUGCCAUAGUCGUAUUUUGUGCUGUGUGGCGGAGUCGGGAAAUAGUGAAGUUUGGGGACCCGACUCCCAUUAUUUUAAUUGUUGGAUAUUUAGAGUGUUUUUCUGGCAGGUUCUGGACCCGUUUUUACGGGGGGUAAUGCUCGUGUUGUAGGGGAGGUUCUGCCGAAUUUUCGGUAGUUCCUGAGUCGAGAUUCUUAGACAGUCAGUCCUAGGAAUCUAGACCUAGGAUCUAUUGUAAUUGUUUCAUCGUUUUGAUAAAUUGUUUUCCGUGACUAGAUUGUCAGUUCGUUUGGCUCGCUCCAACUGAGGCACCGGAGCAGAGCUAGGAGGUCGCCCAAUCCUGUGAGUUAAAGUCAUUUAAUCAUUGCACUAUUGCUAAGUCUGAUUUAAUAUGCUAUUUUGAAAGUUUAUGCAUAAUAUGAUUAUUAGUAUCGCAAAAUAAAUGAUUUCACUUGAUUAUUAAUAUUUAUAAUAAUAUAAAUAUUAUUAUUAGUAUGUUAUAAUAAGAUAAACGUUAUUAUUUUUCCCCUCACAAAUUGCACGUUGUUUUACCUUAAAUCUUUAAUCUUUAUUUCGAUAUGUGUUGGUUGAGUUCAUUAGAUAAUGAUAUUUAUUAUAUGUGAUGAUUGCGAAUUGGGAAAUGUGGCUUGUAGAACAUGCCGCCUGAUGGGUUACAUCAGGACCGCGUGCGCACCGGUAAUGAUUAUGGACAUAAGGUUAUUAUGGAUUUGUUUGCCCUGAUCGAGCAUUGCUCUCUGGGCUGAGUUCAGUGAUGNNNNNNNNNNNNNNNNNNNNNNNNNNNNNNNNNNNNNNNNNNNNNNNNNNNNNNNNNNNNNNNNNNNNNNNNNNNNNNNNNNNNNNNNNNNNNNNNNNNNNNNNNNNNNNNNNNNNNNNNNNNNNNNNNNNNNNNNNNNNNNNNNNNNNNNNNNNNNNNNNNNNNNNNNNNNNNNNNNNNNNNNNNNNNNNNNNNNNNNNNNNNNNNNNNNNNNNNNNNNNNNNNNNNNNNNNNNNNNNNNNNNNNNNNNNNNNNNNNNNNNNNNNUAGUAGGGUAUGAUUAUAGUAUGGUUUGAUAUACUGAUUUGAAUAAUCUAUGUUUUCUGAGAAGAAGCAAUAGUCUCUAGAUUAUUUGAUUUUAACUCACUCUCGAGACUGACAGUCUCCAUUUAUGUUUUUUUCAGAUUCGUGACUGUUAGUUCUCCCGCGACUCUUAUUCAGUAACCCGACUCCUUCAUCAUCGGGUGAUGUAUUUGAUUUGGUAUGUAAAUUGGUAAAUCUUAGAUCCUCCGCAGUAGUAAUAGUAGAUGUAUCAGUUGUAAAUUUUCUGAGUUUCAGGUCUCGCCUAGUUCUUCUGGCAGACCGAUUAAAUUAUGUAAAGUGUAGCAUUUAAGAUAAAUUGUGGCUUUAAUAAUAUUAAUUUGAGAUGAGAUUUGUUUAAAUCAGUGAGUGUCAGGCUUACUACGGGUUUCGGUGGCCUUAAGCCUACCCAUUCCCUAGUGCCGGUCACGGGCCCACGGGUGGGGUCAUGACAAAGUUGGUAUCAGAGCUUAGGUUUAGAUUUCCUUCGACCUAAGUUAAGAUUUUUCUUGGUACUGCGGAGUUAGGAUCAAAUCUGUCUUGUUGUUUUCAUUGACUCCAGUGUCUCAGCCUUCACAGUUAGAGAGUCAGUCUUUCCUUUCUUGUGAGCUUGUCUUUGGUGCCGUGCUGAGAAUGUGCUUUGUAGCGAUGGGAGGAUCUGAAGCGCGAUAGACUCGUGUUGUUUCUUCAAGUGAUUAGUGCAGUCCGCCUUUAGAAGCUUUGAUUGUUGUUUCGAUGGUGGGCACCGCAGUCAGUUUUAGUGUAGAGCGUGAUUGCAGUCGUGUCAUGAGCUGCCUCGUCAUCGCAUCAGGCAUCGCCUUUUUGAGUAGCGCCUAAGGUAGUGCCUGGGAAGUCGAGCGGAUGUCAGAGCUUUAUGGUUGAGUUUUAUGGUUGUAAGAAGCUUAAAAAAGAUGGCAGAAGUAUUUUCGGACGCUUGGAAUCCAGAGAAACUUAAGCGAACAUUAUUUAUUUUUCUAAGUAGGACAAGUGUUUUUGAAAUACAAUAUUGCGCCUAGUCCCGUAAGAAUGCAUUAUGGCAUUUCACUGUUAGGCAUGCAUAAAUUCAUUUUAGGACAUGCAUCAUACAUUGUGCAUUGCAACCCUUGGUGAUAGGGGCAUCAUCACCCUGGCGCGCGAUAUUGUAAAAUUUUAUAUAAAGAAAUGGCUAAAGGUUUUACGAUUUUAUAAAAGUAUUUUUCCAAGAUAAUAAAGCUUUUAUCAGUGAUGAUUAUAAAGUAAGUAAAGAUGUAAUUUUUCAAAGUAAAUAGUGUUAGCUUGAGAAUUUUCUGGAUGACGAGUUGAGUUGUUGAGAGAGUGAGUAUGUGGAGCUGUAGGCCCUAUGUUAGAUUAUAAGAGAGGCUUUUGGAUUUCAGUCAAAGAGGAAUCUUGUGUCAGGAUGGCAUGAGUUGUGUCGGUUAUGGAAACUAGAUGGAUGGUAUGUCAUAAGUGAUGUGGUUUGGUAAGAAAAUAAGGUUGUGGGAACCCUUGGUUUUGUCGGCAGGUUGGUGAGGUGGCAUGUAAGUUGGACUUGCCGCCAAGUAUUAGUAAUGUUCUCUGAGGUUAAAUCCAGUUGUUCGUAGGUCUGAGUUGAGGAAGUAUAUUUUCGAUCCUUUGCUCGUGUUGGAUCCUCAGUGUAUGAAUGCAAGUAAAGAUUUGGUUUCCGAGGAGUAGUAAGUGAGGAUCGCGGAUUUUCAGGUUCGCCAGUUUUAUUUAAGGGUUUUGUCGAUGAGUCUUGUGGUUUAUUUCUGCCGAGGAAAAGUUUCCGAGAAGCCGGGUUGGAGAUGAGAGGUUCCUAAUUAGUUUCAAUCUUAGAGUGUAGCCCCUUUUCUUUUAAAAUUCGAGGUCGAAUUUUUUUUAAGGGGGGGAGAAUGUAACACCCGGAAUUUUUUUUAGAUUUAAUAAUGAAUUUUUAUUUAAGUUAAUUUUAGCUUUAUUUUUAUUCAGUUUAAUUGGAAUGAUUUAAAUACAAAUUUUGAAUGUUCAUGUUAGAUAAAUAAAUGAGUUAUUUUCUAUACCCAAUUAGUUUGAUUUUUAAGAAAUUAUUCAAGUAAAUUAUUUGAGAAAUGAUUAUAUUUUGGUUAUUCAAAAUUUUCCCAAAUGCAUAUUUAUAUAAGUAAAAUUAUAUAUUGGAAAAUUAUGGUAGAAUUGUAAAGGAUGUUUAUAAAAGAAUUUUAAAAAAAUUGGUAUUAUAAUUGAUUAGUAGUAUUAAAUAUUAAGUUGGAAAUUGAUUAUUUAAUUUAAUUGUGUGUUAGGACUAAAUUGGAAAUUUAUUUUGGAAUAAGGAUUGAAAGUAUAAUGUUAUUUUUAUGGGGUUUUAAUGGAAAUUUGUGAGCUUGGUAUUUUUAUAAAUAAAUAUGUCGGUCAGGGGUAUUUUUGUAAUUGUGUAUUUUCAAUAAUUCGGUUUUGGCCCAAAUUAAAUAGUUAGGGGCUUAAUUGAAAGGCUAAAAAGAAGUUUGGGGGUUAAAUUGGAAUUCUGCGGAAUGAAAUUGUAAGUAAUUAAGAAAGUUGAGGGACCAAGUUGUAAUAAGGAAAAGUUCGAAGGCCUAAUGUCGAUAUUGAAAGAAAGAAAAGAAGGAUCGGGGAAGGAAGAGAGGACACUUGUUAGUUUUGAUAAUAUUUUAAAUGAGUGACACAUUAAGUACACUUGUACUAUAUUAAACUGUUUGAUUAUUUCGGAGUUGAUCGGUAACUUGAACGAAGGAUCACGCAUUUGAUUCGUGAUCUAUGUAUCAGUACAAGUCUGUUAAUAUUAUCGGAUAAUCAAUCGGACUCUAAUGAUUAGUGCUGUGUCUACUAACAUAUGGUAUAUGAAUUAUAAAACUUAUAACAAGGAAUUAAAGUAUUUAAUUAUAUAUAAUUUAUUAGUUGAUAAUUGAUUAUAUGAUAAUAUGAUAUUAUUAUUAAUAUUAUUAAAAUUCCUAUUAAUUAAAUGAGUUAAAGACUAAUCAGUGGAUAAGGUGGUACAGCAAGUAGCGAAUUGGGCUCUAAUACUAUCACGAUAAAAGAAAGUGUAGUGGACGGGGCUAUAGGCUACCUUGCUGAAUUUCACACAGGAAAUGACUAGGGUACACCACGUAGGCAAUUUAUACCCUGCAUCCUGGUCCACUUUGUAUUAUGGGUCGGAGGCAGGAAAAUACGUGUGGGACUGUGUCUUGCACUUUUAAAAAAAAUUUGAAAUUACUAUAAAUAAAUUAUAUAUUAAGUAAAUAUUUUAAUAUUUAUAAAAUUAAUUUUUAUGUGUGUGUUAUACGACUGUCAUAAUUAUUUUGAACUUAAAUAAUAAUGUAAAUAUAAUAUUUCCAUGAAUAAUAAAUUAAAUAUUGUAAGUGUCAUUUUUAAUUUUUUUAUGCACAAACUUAAAUUUUAUGUUUUAAAAUAAUACAACUAUUAAAAUGUGGCAAAAUAUAGUAACACGUGUUAAAAAAAUUUAUAUCUUAAAAUCUAAUAUAUAUAUAUAUAUGUAUAGGUAAAUAAAAUUCAAAAACUAAGCAAAAUAUACUAACACGUGUUAAAAAAAUUUAUAUCUUAAAAUCUAAUAUAUAUAUAUGUAUAGGUAAAUAAAAUUCAAAAACUAACAUAAUUAGUAAUAUAUAUUUUUAAAAUUUUCAAUUAGUCAUACUUUGGAGGAUUAAAAAUCAAUAUACUUUCAGUAAAUUAUAAAAUAAAUUAUCUAUUAAAAGUAAUAUAAUAUAAUUUUUAGCAACUCUUUAUAUUCUAGAUUUUUAUAUUAUUCGUGAAUGAAACUAAUUUUUACAUAUUUCAUAAAUUAAAAUCUUUCCUCGAUACGUAAUUGAUAAUUUCAUAAUCAAAAGUAUUAUCUUUUUAUAAUUAUCAUUCAUACGACAAUACUUAUUAUUUACUGUAAUAAUGUUCAUUUUGUAUUCAAUCAAUUUUUAGAUAGUGAUUAUUUUAGUGAAGGAUAUUCAUCAUUUAUGAUCUAUAUGUUCAUUAAUUUAUUAUUGUCAAUUCAGUAAUUAUAAAUCUAUAUAUGUUUUUAAAAUAAUCGUGAAAUAUUUAUUUUCAUAUGAAAAUGAUGUUGAUUCUUUAUAAAAGUUAGAUUUAUUUUUUUAUGAUAUAUAUUAAAAUAAUUUUUUUAUUCAUAUAAGUAUUCACCGUUUAUAGAUAAUAAUAUUCAUUAAUUUAUUUAAAUGGAUAUAUAUAAUAUAUAUAUAAUAUAAAUCAUUUUUACAGUUAGUAUUUAUCCCAAAAAAACUUGUACGUCUUUGUGCAAAAAUUUACAACCAAGUAUUUAAGGGUGGCCUGAUCCUUGUGAUAACAGCCUGCCCCAAUACUAUGUAAAGUAUCUUUCAUUUUAUUGAUAAGUACAAAAAAGAAAUUAUUUUAAAACUUUUAAUAUAAAUAUAUUAAUUAGAUAAAAAGAAAAUAUAUGAUUGUAAAUUAUGAGAAAAAAUGUAUUUUAUUUUUAAAAAAAUUUAGUUUUUAAUAAUUUAAUCAUCUUUACUUUUUAACUUUGAGAUAUUUUUUUUGUCACUAUUUAUAAUUAUAUGUCUUUUUUUAUCUGAAAAAAAUCAUAUUUUAAAAAUUUUCAAAUGAUGAAACCACAUAAUACUUUUAUUUAUUUAUCCUUUUAUUUUAUUUUUUAAACUUUUUGAAAAUUACUUUUGUAAAAAGCAUGUGAAUUGAUUGAUGUUUUCUUCUAGAGCAAGUUGAGAAAAACAGUUUAUAAAAAUUAUAAAAACUAAUAUUUUAAAUCAAAAGAAAUUCUUAACGUGCUUUUUCGAUACCAAUAGUGAAACUAUACGCAUUCUAAAUGUCCUGCAUAACUUUGAUAGAUAGAAAAACGAUGAAUAAAAAUUAAUGAGAAAAUAAAUAAAUAAUAAGAUGGAACAUACAAGGGUUUUAAAUAUAUGGUGUACCAAAAAAUAUAAUUCUUAAUGAUUCAUCCACUUAUCAAAACUACAUAAAAAAUAACAUUUCAUUAUUCUUAGCCAAAUAAAAUCAUCUUCGAGCAAAAUCCAGAAGCAUGACUAAUAAAUCCAGAACUGUACAAAUAAGCUAUAUGCAUAUUCAAUAUUGUCCAAAAGACAAUAUAUUUUAUUUGACAUAUCUGAUAUUUAAGGUGUGAUAUCAUAGAUCACAUAAAUGAAUAUAUGCACCCACCUAAAGAAAAUUAUAUUUAUAUAUAAAAGAACUAAAAGUACCACACUUCAUUUCCAGUUUCUAUAGAGAAUAACUAAAUUAAAAUCACCAAUAAAUAAAUAAUUUUUAUGAGAAACACUUAGAGUAAAGAAAAUACAAUGUCACUCUCUCAAUAUGCAAGACUUUUAGCCGAAUCCUCAAUCAAACUAUAAUUUUAUACAACCUCCUAACUUUAAAUAAUUAUUUGAAUAUUUAACUCUAUAAUUCACUUAGAAAUAUAAUUUAAAAAUAAUGUGAAAUAUUUUUUGCUAACAAUCCUUANNNNNNNNNNNNNNNNNNNNNNNNNNNNNNNNNNNNNNNNNNNNNNNNNNNNNNNNNNNNNNNNNNNNNNNNNNNNNNNNNNNNNNNNNNNNNNNNNNNNNNNNNNNNNNNNNNNNNNNNNNNNNNNNNNNNNNNNNNNNNNNNNNNNNNNNNNNNNNNNNNNNNNNNNNNNNNNNNNNNNNNNNNNNNNNNNNNNNNNNNNNNNNNNNNNNNNNNNNNNNNNNNNNNNNNNNNNNNNNNNNNNNNNNNNNNNNNNNNNNNNNNNNNNNNNNNNNNNNNNNNNNNNNNNNNNNNNNNNNNNNNNNNNNNNNNNNNNNNNNNNNNNNNNNNNNNNNNNNNNNNNNNNNNNNNNNNNNNNNNNNNNNNNNNNNNNNNNNNNNNNNNNNNNNNNNNNNNNNNNNNNNNNNNNNNNNNNNNNNNNNNNNNNNNNNNUACUAAAAUUUAUAUUAACUAUGUAAACAAUUAUCUAUGUUAGUGGACUCGAUACUGGUUAUUGGAGCCUGAUCGAUUAUCUGAUGAAUCUAAUAGACUUGUAAUGAUACAUAAAUUAUGAAUCUGUAUGAUCCUUCAUUCAAGUUACCGAUCAACCCUGAAAUAGUCAAAUAGUUUUGGCUAUCAAUUUUUUAAAGAAAUUAUAUCACUAUAAAACCGGUGUGGAUAGAAAAUUUAUGAGGAGAAUUUAUUAUUCUCUAAUUACCCAAAGCACGUCAGAAAAUUCAUUGCAAAUCAAACUAGCUUUGUUUUCUGAACGAGUUGUCGAAGCCCUUCAAAAUAAAUUACUGAUUGUUCUCAACUAACUUAUAGAAAUAGUGACACCAGGUCGAAUCCUAAGGGAACCAAUGUGAAUAGUUUUUUAAAAUUAAAUAAUAAACAUAGAGGGUUUUGAAUGAUUGAACUAAAAUUAUAAGUAAAUAAAAAAAUGAUAAAAGCUGAUUAUUAAAGUAAAUAAAAAUUAAUCUUACCAAACUUCCAAUUCAAAAGUGUAAAUUCCAUCCAAUUCUAAUUCUAAUCAAAAACUUAAAUAUCAAUUUUUCUAUUCAAGUACUUAGACUAUUUAUUUGGAAAAGCCGCAACAAGUGUAAAUUCUUUUAAUAUAAUUGACUCAAACCCAGCAUCCAAAUCAAAACUUACCAUUAGUCAACCGGGCACGAAAGCGUACCAUAUCAACUCAAUGAUAGCAUUAAGAAUAAUGAGAAUGACUAAACCAACAUUAAUUAAUCGAGAUAGCUGCAAUAUAAUUAAUCUUGUUAUUUUAUUUCUCUAGAGCCUAUCAUGCAAGCUAUGUAAUUCGGAAAGACCGCAAUCACACACACACGAGCUAACUCCUUAUUAGAAAACAACCCCGUAAGAGGGGUAUAUUUGUCAAUAUGAGAAAAUAACUCCGUAAGAGGUUAUAUCUUUAAACAUGAGAAAAAAACCCCAAAAAAGUAGUAUAUUUGUCAAUAUGAGAAAAGAACCCCGUAAGAGGGGUAUAUUUGUCAAUAUUAGAAAGCAGCCCCGUAAGAGGGGUAUAUCUUUCAACAUGAUAAUACAAUCCUAAAAAAAUGGUAUAUUUUUCAAUAUGAGUAAACAACUCCGUAAGAGGGGUAUAUUUGUCAAUAUGAGAAAACAACCCUGUAAGAAGGGUAUAUUUGUCAAUAUUAGAAAACAACCCCAUAAGAGUGGUAUAUCUUUCAAAAUGAAAAAACAACCCCAUAAAAAUUGUAUAAUUGUCAAUAUGAGAAAACAACCUCGUAAGAGGGGUGUAUUUGUUAAUAUUAGAAAACAACCUUGUACGAGGGGUAUAUCUGUCAAAAUGAGAAAACAACCUCAAAAAAGUGGUAUAUUUUUCAAUAUUAGAAAACAACCCCGUAAGAGGGGUAUAUUUGUCAAUAUGAGAAAACAACCCUGCAAGAGGGGUAUAUCUUUCAACAUGAGAAAACAACCCCAAAAAAGUGGUAUAUUUUUCAAUAUGAUACUUAUAUCAAUCGUUCAUGACAAUUGUGGAUCAUAAACUCAAAGAUAGCAAUAGAAAAAUCAAUAUCAUAUUGAGUCGUCAGUUUAAUCAAUAUCAAAAAUUCAUAAACAAUAAUAAUAGAAAAAAAAAUACUUGAAUUAAAGAAGAAAUUAUAUUAAGCACAAAAUCUCACAAAAUCACAAUUGGAAUUUAUUCACUCUUGAAUGAGAAAUUAAAAGCUUAGCCACGCAUGGUGAAGUAAGAAUUCACAAGAGUUAUAGGGAAUAGAGGAAGAAAAUAAAAAAUAUAAAAGCUCAAAGUCGUUCCCUUUUGUAAAACUAGCCUCCUUAUAUAGAAAGUCAAACCUAAAUCCUAAUAAAAUAAUCUCUAUCCAUAAAGAAAUAAACUUCCUAUAUAAUUCAAAUCCCAUAUGGAAAGCUAAAAAAAAAGGGAAAUCUAAAUAAAUAAAAUCCUAAUAAUAUAGGAGACAAUCUUUUUUUAUCCAGAACUUCCAAAAUAAAGGAAAUAACAUAAAAGUGGACUCACCAUGAAUUUAACUAAAAAAAUUUAAAAUUCUCAUCAACAGAUUUCAGCAGCUCAUAGAUUGCAGGGAGUGGUCACGCCUUGUUGAAAAUGAUAUUCUGCAUAAACUUUCACUGAUCCUCCAAAAGACUUGAUUUUUGACAAGUGAUGCUUGAAAAUAUGUCUUUAAACUGAAUUCUGCUCAAUCUCUGAUAUUUCAACAUCUAGAUCAUAACAAACACAAUUUCCACAAUUAAGCACAAUAUCCAAUCAAAAUAUAAGAGAAUUAAACACAAUAAGUAUUAUUUAUGAUCUAUCAAAUUUUUCCAAACCUAAUUCAUGCUUGUCCUCAAGCAUACCUCAACUCAACAUAUCAAUUCUCCUCUCUACUUCCUUUUAAUCUCUUUAAAUAUCCCUAAAUACCAAAUAAGUUAAACAUACAUCAAUGAGUUGAAUCAUAAUGACUAUCAAGAGAAUAACACUCAUAGGAUAAAUUUUGUAACAAAAAAAAUAAGUAUCUCACUAAUCCAUCAAAAUCAAAUGCAAAAAGACUUAACACCCUAAUAUGGUUUUACAAUACUCUCAAAGUGUUUAGGGUGCAUUUACUUUCAGAAUAAAAAAAUAGCAUGUUAUUACCAUAAUCUUGCUAAUGAGUCAAGUCUCCACCACUACACAUGUAUUGGUUGCAAAAAUCAAAGGGACUUCACAAGGGUUGUAUGGGGCUUAAGAAAGGGUAUGAUAAAAGAAAAAAAUUAAAGUGUUUCAUAAUCAAGACAAAAAGUCAUUUACUUGCAUGAUAACUAUGCCACAUAACCACAAAAUACACUAUAAAAACUUUGAAUUUUAUCUCCACAUCUUAUAUUAGCACUAAAAUGUUUGGAGAAAUAACAUAUAACAAUUCAGUUCAACAUCUUUGAUAAACACUUCUCCAAUUAUCCUCUUUCAUGAAAGGAAUAAAUAUCAACUUUUUUUUUCAACAUUUUAUUUUUCUUUUUUAUUUUUUUCAUUUUUUUCGAAUUUCUUUCCAUUACUAAUUUUUUUUUCUUUUUAGCAUUUUUCUGUUUCUUUUUAUACCAUCUAACACUUUUGCAUCUUGUCUUAACAAGGAUAGAAAAAUAGAAGUAAUAAAUGAAAGGUCUUGGGCUAAACAAUAUGUGUUAAAGACAAGAAAAAAAUAAAAAAUAGGCUCAAAGUGGCUAACUAAAAGGAAAAUUAACAAAGUAGAUCUUUUAAGAGUCUAAGAAUUGCUUAAUCUAAUUGUCCUUAUCAUAUUAAAGCACCAAUCCAAAAAUGUGGUCUCAAUAUACAUUCACAAGCAAGUUCUAGAAUAAGCGCACUAAGUAUGAUAACAUUCAACAAAAACAAUUAGAGCAAAAUAUAAUAUACUGCUCUUAGGCUCAAAAGUUCACUUGAAUGUUCAAAUUUGCAUCAAAUCUUGUGCAUUUUUCAAUCAAUAAACCAAUGAGAUACCAUCAAAUAAUUUUAAAGAAACACUAAUCAUGCUUAUUCCUUUCAUGUAUUAAAAUUCAAACAAAAAAUGUAUCCCUAACUUACAUGGAAAUCUAGGUUAUAAGAAAAAAAAAGGUUCCAAAAGAAAAAUUAGCACAUAUGAAUUAAAGCACACCUAAUUCUAAGCAUAAAAAAACACAAUUUUCAAAAAUAAAAGGAAAUCAUGUAAUUAACAAAUUCUUCCCUCACACCUAAACUAUAUAUUAUCCUCAAUGUAUCAAAAAGAAAAUGGCUCACAAAAAAAAUGAAAAGAAAUAUGAAACUCUCCUGAUUUGCGAGCAACUUGGGCUGAGUAGUCUAUGGUGAUGGUGGGCAAGGAGAUAGAACCCUCCUAUGCUUUAUCAAGGCAUCCAAAUUUCUCUCAAUCAUUGAAAUUUUAUGUUCCACCUUUUCCCAAAUGAGCUUCAAAAUCUAGUUCAGUUGAAUCAUCAGAGGUCUGGAAAAAAUAAAAAUAAAAGAAAUGUUAGAAAAAAUAGGAUAGUGGGAAAAAAAGUAGAAAAUAAUAAUAAUAAAAUGUUUUUAUUUAUUUUUAUUUUUUAUUUUUUAUCAUAAAUAAAAUAUCCUAAAGAAAAUAAAGUAAAGAAGUUAAAUUCUCAAGGCUUAUUGCUCAAAACAAAAUCAGAAGGUGGUUUGAUAUAAGUCGUGGUCACGGCUUAUCAAGAACGAUCUUCUGGAAAAAGACAUUUGCUUGAUACAUCUCGAAAAGCUGUAAAAGACUGACGCCUUAUUAAAAUUAAUCUCCUGCCCAAAAAUUGAACUUCUUCAUUAAAAAAGCUAAAAACUAAAAAUAAAAUAAACUAAGUGAAACAAAAUAAAAAGUAUGAAUAAAAAUAAAGAAAACAUUUGGGUUACCUCCUAAUAGAAUAAUUGUUUAAUGUCGUUUUGCUCAGCGGAAUGAUGAAACGUUACGGUCAUCCAAAUAAGUAGGGUGAUUCAAAGGAAAACUAAUGAGACAUGGAGCAAUUUCACCCUCAUGGAAGAUCUUCAAUAUAUGACCAUUCACUUUGAAAAUUUUAUCCAAAUCUAAGCUUAUAAUUUCUAUUGCACCAUAGGGAAACACAUUAGUAACAACAAAUGGACUGAUCUAUCGAGAACGAAACUUACCAGGUAUAAGCUUCAAUCGAGAAUUAUAUAAUAAUAAUUUUUCACAAAUCUCAAAUUAUUUCCUAUUAAGUAUGUUAUCAUGGAAUAACUUGAAUUUUUCUUUAUAAAUUCUCGAAUUCUCAUAAGCAUUCAAUCGCAACUCCUCUAUUCUUGCAAUUGCAGUAGCCUUGAUAUCCCAGCUUUGUCUAUGUCCAUAUUGCACCGCCAAACUGCCCAAUAGGAUUUAUGCUUGAUUUCUACCGGUAAGUGACAUGCUUUACAAAAAAACUAACCGAUAAGGGGACAUUCCUAUAGGAGUUUUGUGAGCCGUUCAGUAAGCCCAAGGAGCAUCAUCUAAACGAAGGCUCCAAUUCUUUCUUCCUGGAUUCAUUGUUAGUUCUUUUGAGAUGAUGACAGGCAAUAUUUCACCAUCACCUAAAUAUACGUAUGGUGAUCCGGUAAAAUUUUUAGCUCCAAUUUUGGUGCCUGCACAAUUGAAGGUAAUAUCUUAUUAUUAGUAUUAGAAAUUUCAGUAUUGAAAUUUAUUGGUUCAGAUAAUGUUGUUGAAAAUAAUUCUUCUACACCAAUCUCAUAAUCAAUUCCUUUUAAAUUAGAUUGUGCAUCUAAUUUUUACUCAUCACCAACACUUUCUUUUGCAAAUACAUCCUGUAAAAUUGAAUCAAUCACAUUAAUAUGACAGAGAGGAUGUACACCAUUAGGAUAUUUCAUUGCAUCCAAAAUAUGAAAAUUAACAAUCUUUCCAUCAAACUCUAUGGAGAGAGUACCCUCAUUGUCUUAGCUAUUUUCAUGAAUGGUCAUCCUAACAAAGUUGAAGCUGAUUUUGAUGAGGAAUUACCAUCCAUUUCCAAAAUAUAAAAGUCAACAGGAAAUAUGACCUCAUUAACCUGCACCAAAACAUCUUCAACGACUCCAAGGGGAUGAAUAUAAGAACGUUCAGCUAAUUAAAUCACUACACCAGUCUUUUGUAAGUCAUUUAGUUUCAACUCUUGAUAAAUAGAAAAUGACAUGACACUAAUGGAAGCUCCUAAAUCUAACAUGGUACGCUCAAUUUUCUUUUUACCAAUAAUACAAGAUAAUGAAAAUAUACCUAGAUCCUUGCAUUUUUUUGGCAUAUUCUUUUGUAAGAUAGCCGACACAUUUUUACUUACCACCACUUUCUCCUUUUCCUUCAUCCUCCUUUUGUUUGUGCACAAUUUCUUUAAGAACUUUGUAUAUUUAGGAAUUUGCUCGACAACAUCCAAUAAUGGGAUAUUUAUUUUCACCUUCCUAAAUAUAUCUAAGAUCUCAUUUUCUUGCUCAUCUUCUUUUGGUUUAGCUAAUCUGCUAGGAAAAUGAGGUAAUGGAGUGUGAGAUAAAAGAGAUAGAGGAGGAUUGAAUUUUACCCCAUUUGAUGCUUUAGAGGAAGCUUCUUCUUCCUUUUCCUUGCUCAAUUCACUUUUCUUAAGUGGAAUCGACCCUGAAGGAAUCUCCUUUCCGCUUCUUAGUGCAAUUGCACUAACAUUCUCCUUUAGAUUUAUCUCUAGUCGUGAAGGCAGUUUUCAGAAUUUUGAACCAAUUUACUAACCGACAUAGCCAAUUGAGUAAUUUAAUUGCUAAAUUCUAAAUGCUUGACCUUGUUUCCUAUGGAAGUUGAAGAGUACUGUUAGCAAGAUUUUUAAUAAUAUCUUCCAAAGACAUACUUGAUUUUGAAGCUUGAGAUUUUUGGAAAACUUGAGGCGGUCUAAUGAAGUUAUGGGAAGUGUCCUCAUUGGUUUCCAUAGCUCAAAUUCGGGUAAUCUUUCCAUCCAGGAUUAUAUUGAUUGGAAUAAGAAUAAUACUUCCUUUGAGGUUGACCAGUAAACCCGCCUAAAGCAUUAGCCUCUUGCAUCGAGUCUUGUUACAAUGUAGGGCACAUAUCAAUGGAAUGUCAUUGAACUGAGCAUAUUCCAUAAACUUUUUCCAUUUGCAAUCGCCCUACAGUCAUUUGAUGAACCAAAGUAGUUAAAUUAGAAAUUUAAUUUUCAAGAUUUUUUAGUGCUUACCUCAUUAACUCACCUAAUAGCUCCAUCAGCUCUUGUACCAAAUUGCUAAGAAUUUUCAGCCAUGUUUGAAAUCAAUUGCUUGGCUUCUUCAUGUGCCUUGUCUACUAAAACUCCAUCACUUGUUGCAUCAAUCAUACUCCUAGCUAUUGGUAAUAAUCCUUUACAGAAGUAAUGAAUUAAGAGUUGAUCAGAAAUUUAGUGAUGGGGGAAACUAGCAUACAAUUGCUUGAACGUCUCCUAAUACUCAUACAAUGUCUCUCCAGUGAAUUGUGUUAUGCAAUAAAUUUCUUUUCUGAUGUUGGCAGCUCUUGUUACAGGAAAAAACUUAUCUAAGAACAAUCUUCUCAUCUCAUUCCAUGUUGUUAUUGAACCAGAGGGUAGAUAAUUUAUCUAAUCUUUUGCUUUAUCCUUUAAAGAAAAGGAAAAAGUUCUAAGAUUUAUUUGCUCUUCGGUCACACUAUGUGACUUCAUUCUGGAGCAUACAAUAUGGAAUUCUUUCAAGUGUCUAUGAGGAUCUUCACCUCCACAUCCAUGAAAAGAAGAGAGUAAGUGAAUUAAGCUAAAUUUUAGUUUAAGAUCAACUUCAAUAUUAGGAAAUAUAAUGCAUAAAGUUGUUGAUUCAAAUCCAGCGCGGCUGCUCUUUGAGAGUUUUAUUUGCCAUAUUUUCUACAACUUCUUAAAAAAUAGAUGUGUCACCAAUAGCCAAAUCUAUCUCUAAUUCCUCUAUGAGAUGACUUUUUCUGUCUAGUCUCAUUUCUUAAUCGACGCAUUGUCUUCUCAAUUUUAGAAUUAUAUUGCAAAUCAAUAGCCUGAGAAGAACGAGUCGUAAACAAAUACAUUAAACAAUGAGAAACUAAAAUAGCUCCCCAGUAAUGGUGGUCAAAUUUUGAAUGAGUUGUCGAAGCCCUACAAAAUAAAUUACUGAUUUUCCUAAACUAACUUGUAGAAAUAGUGAAACGAGGUCGAAUCCCUAGAAAACCAAUGUGAAUAGCUUCUCAAUGUUAAAUAAUAAAAAUAGGAGAUUUUGAAUGAUUGAACUAAAAUUAUAAAUAAACAAGAAAAUAAUAAAAGUUGAAUAUUAAAGUAAAUAAAAAUUAAUCUUACCAAACUUCCAAUUCAAGAGUGCAAAUUCCAUCCAAUUGUAAUUCUAAUCACAGGCUUAAAUAUCAAUUCUAUUCAAAUACUUAGUCUACUGAUUUGGAAAAGCCGUAAAAAUUAUAAAUUCUCCUAAUAUAAUUGACUCAAACCCCACAUCCAAAUCAAAACUUACCAUUAGUUAACUGGGCAUGAUAGCGUUUCAUAUCAACUCAAUAAUAGUAUUAAGAAUAAUGGGAAUGACUAAACCAAUAUUAAUUAAUCAAGAUAACUGUAAUGAUUUAAUCUUGUAUCUUUAUUUCCCUAGAGCCUAUCAUUCAAGCUAUUUAAUUCGGAAAGACCGCAAUUACAUACACAUGAGCCAACUUCUUGCUAUUUUUGUCAAUUGUUCAUGAUAAUUACGGAUCACAAACUCAAGGAUAGCAAUAGAAAAAUCAAAGAAGAAAUUAUGUUAAGCAAUAAAAAAAGAAAUAAAGAAUACUUGAAUUAUUGAAGAAAUUCUGUUAAGCACAACGCCACACAAAAUCACAAUUGAAAUUUAUUCACUCUUGAAUCAGAAAUUAAAAGCUUAGCCACACAUGGCGGAGUAAAAAUUCACAAGAGUUGUAGGGAAUAGAGGAAGAAAAUAAAAAAUAUAAAAGCUCAAAGGCGUGGUCACGACUUAUUAAAAUUAAUCUUCUGCCCAAAAAUUGAACUUCAUUAAAACAAACUAAAAACUAAAAAAAAAAAAUAAACUAAGUGAAAGAAAAUAAAAAGUAUAAAUGAAAAUAAAGAAGGCAUUUGGGUUGCCUUCCAAUGGCGUAAUUGUCUAACAUCAUUUUGCUCGAUACGAUAAAUCAAUUAAGAAUUUCUGAUUUCCAAUGACCAUAUCAGCAAAAAUAGGCUGAAAAAGUAUUAGAUAAUUUAAAUGGAAACAAAAAUUAACAGUAUUAGUACCAAAAAGAAAAUAACUGAACUAUUAGUCUCAGUUGGAUAUUAAGUCCAAAAAUUUGAUAUCAAUAAAAUAAUUUACCCAAAAAAAAAAACUGUACGUUUUUUUGCAAGAAUUUAAAAUAUGUAUUUAAAGGUGGCCUGAUCCAUUGAGAUAACAGCCUGCCCACCAAGCAAUACUAUCUAAAGUAUCUUUCACUUUAUUGAUAAGUAAAAAAAAUUAUUUUAAAAUUUUUAAUAUAAAUAUUAUUAAUGAGAUAAAAAAAAUAUAUAAUUGUAAAUUAUGAGGAAAAAAAAAGUAUUUUGCUUUUUAAAAUUUUAGUUUUUUAAUAAUUUAAUCAUCUUUUUUUCAGUAAGCCAUCAUUAUCAUAUUGUUUGUAUUUGAUAAUAUAAGUUUAGAGCUUAAUAGUUUAUAAUUUCAUUAUUUGACCUUUAAAUCAUAUUUAGUGAUUUGAUGAAAUGAAAUUAACAGUCAAAUAAUGAGAUUAGAAGUUAUUAAGUUCCAAAUUCUCAUUAUCAAAUACGAGCAACAUAAUAACAAUGACUGAUCAGAAGUAAAAUGGCUAAACUCUUAUGAAUUGAAACUUUUUAAAGUCGAGAUACAUUUUUUCAUCAUCAUUACUAAUCACAUAUCUCUUUGUCUGAAAAACACAUGCUAAAAAAUGUAAAAUGAUGAAACUAUAUAGUACUUUUUUUUGUAUUUAUCUGUUUACUUGACUGAAGUGUGAAGCAUAAUAAUAUGAGAUUUUAUUAGGUAAAUAGCUAUGGUUUUAAAAUUUUGGCUUAUGUUUCUAGUUAGUACCAAUACUUUAAUUAUUUUCUUUUUAAUAUCAUAACUUUAAUUUUUAUUAUAUACAAUGGUAUCCAUUGGAAAUUCGUUUAAUUUCUUAUGAUAUUGAGGGUAGAGAUCCACAUCACUAACCCAAUCUAACUCUUAAUGGUGUCAUUCUCAGUUAUUAAUUUUCUUUAGAGAUAAGUACAUAAAAGUACCUUGUGGUUUCAUCACUUGACAACUUUCAGUGUGUUAUUUUUUCCAAACAAUAAAAAAAAGAAAUACAGUUAUAAAUCACGACAAAAAAAAAUAUUUUACCAUUAAAAAGUUUCAAUUUGUAAGGAUUUAGCCAUUUUCACUCCGAUCAAUCAUCAUUAUCAUAUUUUUCAUGUUUGAUAAUAUGGGUUUAGAGUUUAACAACUCAAAACAUCAUUGUUGGAUUGUUAAAUCAAUUUAUCAUUGGAGCAAUGACUUCCUAAAUCAUGAUUUAAUGAUCAGAUUUUAAAACUAGGAGUUGUUAAACUCCAUACUCACAUUAUCAAACACACACACAAUAGGAUAUUGAUGGUCAAUCGGUGUAAAGAUGGCUUGAUCCUUACAAAUUGAGACUUUUUAACUGUGAGAUAUCUUUUCUAUCAUUAUUUAUAACUACAAGCCUCUUUUUGUUUGAAAAAGAAAAUCACAUUCUGGAAAUUGUCAAAUGAUGAAACCAUAUAAUACUUUUAUGUAAUUAUUUCUUUAUUUUAUUUUUUAAGUUUUUUGAAACUUACUUUUGUAAAAAGCAUGUAAAAGUUGAGAAAAACAGUUUAUACAAAUUAUAAGAACUAAUAUUUUAAAUCAAAAGAAAUUCUUAACGUGCUUUUUCAAUACCAAUAGCGAAAUGUCUUGCAUGACUUUGAUGGAUAAAAAAAUGAUGUAUAAAAAUAAAUAAAUAAAUAAUAAGAUGCAACAUAUAAGGGUUUUAAAUAUUGUCUAAAAAAUAAUAUAUUUUAUUUGACACCUAAUAUUUAAAAUAUGAUAUUAUAGAUCACAUUAAUAAAUAUAUGCACAUUUAUCCAUAUAGAGAAAAUUAUAUUUAUAUAUAAGAAACUAAAAGUACCACAUUUCAUUUCCAGUUUUUAUAGAGAAUAAUUAAAUUAAAAUAAUCUUUAAAUAAAUAUUUUUUAUGAGAAACACUUUAAAAAUCAUAAGUAUAUAAAUAAUAGAGUAAAGAAAAUACAAUACCACCCUCCCAAUAUGCAAGACUUUUAACCGAAUCCUCAAUCAAACUAUAAUUUUACACAACCUGCUAACUUUAAACAGUUAUUUAAACAUUUAAUUCUAUAAUUCACGUAUAAAUAUAAUUAAAAAUAAUGUUAAUAUUUGUGCUAACAAUCCUUAUCUAACCUCUAAUAUCUAUAUAAUAUAUCAUUCUUGACAAUCAUUAAUUUUUAUAAUUAACAUAAUCGAUUAUCUUAAUAACUAAUCCACCUUAUCCACUGAUUACACUUCAACUCAUUUAAUUAAUAGGAGUAUUAAAAAUAUUAAUAAUAAUAUCACAUUAUCAUAUAAUUAAUUAUCAACCAAUAAUUAUAUAUAAUUAAAUAUCUCAAUUCCUAACUAUAAGUUUUAUAAUUCAUAUACCAUAUUCUAAACUAAUUAUCAUAAUUUAAUAAUAAAAUUCAUAAUGUAGUUAAUAUUAAUUUUCCUUAUGUUCUCCAUCUGCUCAAUUAUAGAUUUAAUUCCAUUUAAUCUAUCAAAAUAACAAACAAAUUAAUUCCUUAAUAUAAGUACUAACUAAUAUAUCUUCGACAAUGUUAUAAUCUUUAAUUAAUAGUUGUCUAUUUANNNUUUAUUCUACUGGAACUUAUAUUAACUAUGUAAAAAUUAAACAAUAUACGUAUAUGUUAGCGGACUCAGUAUUGGUCGUCGGAGUCUGAUGGAUUAUCCAAUGAAUCUAAUAGACUUGUAGUGAUACAUAGAUCACGAAUCUAAUGUGAUACUUUAUUCAAGUUACUGAUGAACUCUGAAAUAGUUAAAUAGUUUUGAUUAUAAAAUUGGUAUAAAUAGAAAAUUUAUGAGGAGAAUUUAUUGUUUUCUAAUUACCUAAAGCACGUCACAAUUAGACGACAUCCGUUACAAAUCAAACUAGCUUUGUUUUCUCUUUCUACUGUAUGUCGUCAUCCCCAAUCAAAGUAGAGGCCGCCAUGGUCAUCACUUGAAAGCCCAUUACAAGAUGAGUUUAAUGCCACUAGUUCUAAUCACUGGCCAACUAAAGGAAGGAGAUCUGCUAUUUGGAAUUUUUAGUGUUCCAAACUUACUCCUCCAUACGCUGCCCACAAUCGCCAAGUGGUAACAGCAAGGUCACUCAAUGACUGUGGGCAGCAUAUGUAGUAAGUUUAGGACACUAACUUCCAACUAGUAGAUCUCCCUCCUUUAGUAGGGCCAACGACUGGAACCAGUGGCAUUGAACUCAUCUUUUCAUGGGCUUCCAAGUGAUAAUCAUGGUAGCCUUUACUUUGAUCGGAGAUGACGAGACACAGUGGAGAAAGAAAACGAAGCUAGUUUGAAUUUUAACAGAUUUCAUCCAAUUCUGACGUGCUUUGGGUAAUCAAAGAACAAUAAAUUCUCCUCUUCAUAAACUUUCUAUCUACACCAGUUUUAUAACGGUUGGACUCCUUUAAAACAUUGUUGGCCAAAACUGUUUGACUAUUUUAGAGUUGAUCGGUUACUUGAAUGAAAGAUCACACAUUUGAUUCGUAAUCUACGUAUCAUUACAAGUCUAUUAGUAUCAUCGAAUAAUCAAUCGGACUCCGACGACCAGUGCCGUGUCUACUAAUAUAUGGUAUAUGAAUUAUAAAGCUUAUAAAAAGGAAUUAAAGUAUUUAAUUAUAUAUAAUUAUUAGUUGAUAAUUGAUUAUAUGAUAAUAUGAUAUUAUUAUUAAUAUUGUUAAAGCUUCUAUUAAUUCAAUGAGUUGAAGACAAAUCAGUGGAUAAGGUGGUACACCAAGUACCGGAGUGGGCUCUAAGACUAUCAUGAUAGAAGAAAGUGCAGUGGACUCGGCUCUAGACUACCUUGCUGAAUUUAUGUGAUUCUUAAGGAUUUAAGCCAGUUAUCAAGACUUGAGAGGGAGCCAUGAGACAAUUAUCAAGGAAACCCUAGCUUAACCGCCUAACAACCUUCCCUUGUAUUUCAAAUUAUAGUUUGUAUAAGAUAUAUUACUAGAUAUUCCAGCUGUAUAUCUUAUUUUCAACAGUUGUUAUGUAAUCUACAAAUAUAUCUAGGGUUGUACUCUUUAAAAUAUCAAUAUAUACAAAAUCAUAUUUUUCUCUAAACUUAAUAUGGUAUUAGAGCAAACCAUCAUGAAUCUUAAUGGAAAUCCAUCUUUCUCUUCUUCCUCUUCUACUGCUCAACUCAAUUUUUCUAUCAGACUCACUUCUAACAAUUUUCUCUUAUGGAAAAUUCAGCUCAUGCCUCUUCUUCACUCUCAAGAUCUCAUCGACUUCAUAGAUGGUAGUUAUUCAGCUCCAUCUAAAACAAUUCUCAGCAAUGAUACUCCGCUUCGAACCAUUCUGAAUUCAGCUUACUCUAUCUGGUUUCAUGGAGACCAAAUGCUUCUGUCCUGGAUCCUCUCUUCUCUUACUGAAGAAAUUUUUCCCUACAUCAAUGGAGUUUCCUCAUCCUAUUCAGCUUGGAAAACUCUAGAAAAUGCAUUUGGUGCUGUAUCUCAAAAUAAACAGCUUCAACUUCAUAUCAAAUUAUAAGAGCUGAAGAAAAAUGAUCUCUCUAUGAAGGAUUAUUUACUAAAAGCUAAAGCAUUGGCCGAUAAAUUAACUACUGCUGGUUGUCCAAUUAAUGAAGUCGAGUUUAAUGCAAUUAUUGUCCACAAUAUUGGUGCUGAAUUUCAAGGAAUUAUAAGCACUCUCAAUACCAUAUUAAAACCAAACAAUUUUUGUAGGCUUCAUAGUCGUCUUUUUGCUCAUAAAAUUCUUCUUAAAGCUCAACAAUCAAACUAUAUGGCUAAUCUUUUCUACAAGCCCUCGAUUUUGUCUACACCAACUUUUUUUCCACCACAAUCACUGCCUCCUUCACAGAAGAAUUUUCGGCCAUCAUGGAAAAUGAAGUUUCAAAAUCGGGGUGGUGUCUACUAGUGGCUAUGCCAUUUACAUUGGAAAGUAUAUUGCAUCAUGGAGUGCCAAGAAACAACCUACAAUUGCUAGGUCAUUAACUGAAAGUGAGUAUGAGAGGUUACAAAUAGUUAUAUUUAUUGUGUUUAAUUCCCUUGCGAUUUGGUUGAAUAAUGUACCUAAUUAUGAAAAUUUUGUUUAUUCUAACUUAGGUAAUGAAAUAUGAAGGAUGGAACAAAAUCCAGCCUAAAGACAUGUUUUAAGUCAUCAUUUGUCAAAAACCAAGUCUUUUGGAGGAGAUGCUGAAAUCUGCAAAGAAGAUCACUGUCGACAAGGCGUGACCAUGUCUUACAGCCCAUGAGCUCCGCAGAAAUCUGUGUAGAAGACUACUGUCAGCAAGGCGUGACCAUGCCUUGCGUCCCAUGAGCUGCUAAAAGAUGCGAAAGAGAGCUUUGAAAUUUUUAGAAAUUAAUUUGUAGUGGACCUAUCCCUAAUUAAUUUUCUUUAUUUUUGGAAGUAUUGGAUUAAUAGAACUUUCUUCCAUGUAUUUAGAGUUUUAAUUUAUUUAGAUCACUCUUAAUCUUAUCCUUCCGUAUAGGGAUAAGAUUAAAUAGGAAGCAUAUUUCUUUUUUAUAAGGAUUCUACUAUUAGGGUUUAGAGUUUUACUUCCUAUAUAAGGACGGCUAGAUACUUUAAGUAUAUAAUUCAUAUUUUUAUUCUUCUUCUACUCUCUACAAUUCUUGUGAAUUCUUACUCCACCAUGAGUGGCUAAGUUCUUAGUUUCUAAUUCAAGUGAAAAAAUUCUAAUUGUGAUUUUGUGAGGCUUUGUGCUUAACAUAAUUCUUUUUUAAUUCAAGUAUUCUUUAUUUCUUGUUCUUAUUAUUUAUGAAUUAUUGAUAUUGAUUGAACUGACGACUCAACUUUGAUAUUGAUUUUUCUAUUGCUACACUUUGAGUUUGUAAUCCGUAAUUGUCAUGAACGAUUGACACAAGUAGCAAGGAGUUGGCUCAUGUGUGUGUGAUUAUGGCUUAUUCGAAUUACAUAGCUUGCAUGAUAUGCUCUAGGGAAAUAAAGGAAAAAAAUUAUUUCAAUUGCAGUUAUCUCAAUUAAAUUAAUGUUGGUUUAGUCAUUCUUAUUAUUCUUACUGCUAUCAUUAAGUUGAUAUGGAAUGUUAUCGUGCCCAGUUGAUUAAUGGUAAGUCUUGAUUUGGAUGUUGGGUUUGAGUCAAUUAUAUUAGGAGAAUUACACUUGUUGCGGUUUUUUCGAAUAAGUAGACUAAGUACUUGAAUAGAAGAAUUGAUAUUUUAGCCUAUAAUCAUGAUUACAAUUGGAUGGAAUUAGCACUUUUGAAUUGGAAAUUUAUUAAGAUUGAUUUUAUUUACUUUAAUAUUCAGCCUUCAUUAUUUUCUGCUUAUUUAUAAUUUUGAUUCAAACAUUCAAAAUCUCUCCUUUUUAUUUUACUUUGAGAAGCUAUCCACAUUGGUUCCCUUGGGAUUUGACUUGGUUUCACUAUUUCUACAAGUUAGUUUAGGAAAAUCAGUAAUUUAUUUUGAAGGGCUUCGACAACCCGUUCAAAUUUGGUGUCGUUGUCGGGGGAACCUAUUUUAGUUUAUCAUUGAUUAAUUUAUUUGUUUAUGACUUGUUCUUCUCAAGAUAUUGAUUUGCAGUUUAAUCCUGAAAUUGAGAAGACAGCGCGUUGAUUAAGAAAGGAGACUAGACAAAGAAAAAGUUGUCUCAUAGAGGAGUUGGAAAUAGAUUUGGCUAUUGGUGACACAUCUAUUUUUCAAGAAAUUAUAGAAAACAUGGCGAACAGAACUCUCAAAGAGCUAGCUGCAUCGGAUUUAAAUCAACAAUCUUUAUGCAUUACAUUUCCUAAUAUUGCAGUUGAUUUUGAAUUAAAAUCUGGUUUAAUUCACUUACUCCCUUUUUUUAAUGGAUGUGCAGGUAAAGAUCCUCAUAAACACAAAACUCCAUAUUGUAUGCUCCGGAAUGAAGCCACAUGGUGUGACCGAAGAGCAAAUAAAUCUUAGAGCUUUUUCCUUUUCUUUGAAGGAUAAAGCAAAAGAUUGGCUCUAUUAUCUACCCUCUGGUUCAAUAACAACAUGGAAUGAGAUGAAAAUAUUGUUCUUAGAUAAGUUCUUCCCUGCAACAAGAGCUGCCAACGUCAGAAAAGAAAUUUGUGGCAUAACACAGUUCACUGGAAAAACAUUGUAUGAGUAUUAGGAAAGGUUCAAGCAAUUGUGUGCUAGCUGCCCCCAUCAUCAAAUUUCUCAGCAACUUUUAAUCCAAUACUUCUAUGAAGGAUUGUUGCCCAUGGAGAGGAGUAUGAUUGACGCAGCAAGUAGUGGAGCUUUGGUAGACAAGACGCCUGAAGAAGCCAAGCAAUUAAUUUCAAACAUGGCCGAAAAUUCUCAGCAAUUUGGUACAAGGGCUGAUGGAGCUACAAGGCGAGUUAAUGAGGUAAGCACUAAAAAUUUUGAAAAUCAAAUUUCUGAUUUAACUACUUUGGUUCGUCAAAUGGUUGUAGGGCAAUUGCAAAUGGCAAAAGCUUGUGGAAUAUGCUCAGUUCAAGGACAUCACAUCAAUAUAUGCCCAACAUUGCAACAAGACUCUAUACAAGAAGCUAAUGCUCUAGGUAGAUUUACUGGUCAACCUCAAAGGAAGUAUGACCCUUUCUCCAAUUAUUAUAAUCUUGGAUGGAGAGAUCACCCAAAAUUGAGUUAUGAAAACUAAGGAGGACAACAAAAGUAUCCUUCCCANNNNNNNNNNNNNNNNNNNNNNNNNNNNNNNNNNNNNNNNNNNNNNNNNNNNNNNNNNNNNNNNNNNNNNNNNNNNNNNNNNNNNNNNNNNNNNNNNNNNNNNNNNNNNNNNNNNNNNNNNNNNNNNNNNNNNNNNNNNNNNNNNNNNNNNNNNNNNNNNNNNNNNNNNNNNNNNNNNNNNNNNNNNNNNNNNNNNNNNNNNNNNNNNNNNNNNNNNNNNNNNNNNNNNNNNNNNNNNNNNNNNNNNNNNNNNNNNNNNNNNNNNNNNNNNNNNNNNNNNNNNNNNNNNNNNNNNNNNNNNNNNNNNNNNNNNNNNNNNNNNNNNNNNNNNNNNNNNNNNNNNNNNNNNNNNNNNNNNNNNNNNNNNNNNNNNNNNNNNNNNNNNNNNNNNNNNNNNNNNNNNNNNNNNNNNNNNNNNNNNNNNNNNNNNNNNNNNNNNNNNNNNNNNNNNNNNNNNNNNNNNNNNNNNNNNNNNNNNNNNNNNNNNNNNNNNNNNNNNNNNNNNNNNNNNNNNNNNNNNNNNNNNNNNNNNNNNNNNNNNNNNNNNNNNNNNNNNNNNNNNNNNNNNNNNNNNNNNNNNNNNNNNNNNNNNNNNNNNNNNNNNNNNNNNNNNNNNNNNNNNNNNNNNNNNNNNNNNNNNNNNNNNNNNNNNNNNNNNNNNNNNNNNNNNNNNNNNNNNNNNNNNNNNNNNNNNNNNNNNNNNNNNNNNNNNNNNNNNNNNNNNNNNNNNNNNNNNNNNNNNNNNNNNUUGCAAAGACUGGUGUAAUGAUUCAAUUAGCCGAUCACUCUUAUAUUCAUCCCCUUGGAGUUGUUGAAGAUGUUUUGGUGCAGGUUAAUGAGCUCAUAUUUCCUAUCGAAUCUUACAUUUUGGAAGUGGAUGGUAAUUCCUCAUUAACAUCAGCUUUGAUUUUAUUAGGACGACCAUUCAUGAAAACUGCUAACAUAAAGAUUAAUGUAGAUGAGGGUACUCUCUCCGUAGAGUUUGAUAGAUAGAUUAUUAAAUUUAAUAUUUUCAAUGUAAUAAAAUAUGCUAAUAAUUUACAUUCUCUUUGCCAUAUUGAUGUAAUUAAUCCAAUUGUGCAAGAAGUAUUUGCAAAAGAAAAUGUUAGUGAUGAGCAAGAAUUAGAUGCACAAUCUAAUUUAGAAGUGGAAAUUAGAAGAUUGGAUUUGGAUAAAAUUUUCAAACUGAAUGGUCAUAGAUUGAAGAUCUUCCAUGAGGGUGAAAUUGCUUUAUGUCUCAUUAGUUUUCCUUCGAAUCACCCCACUUAUUUAGAUGACUCAAAUAUUUUAUCAUUUCGUCAAGCAUAACGACGUUAAACAAUUGCGCUAUUGGGAGGCAACCCAAACACUUACUUUAUUUUUUUUUAUUUUUUUUCUUUCACUUAGUUUAUUUUAUUUUUAGUUUUUAGUUUUUAAUUUUUUUAAUAAAGAAAUUCAAAUUUUUUUCUGACAGGAGACUAAUUUCUACCAGGCGUGACCACGCCUUGUUCCCAAACAUCUUCUGUUCUGUAACAAAAAAAAAAAUCCUACUGUUACUCUUACAGAAGCUCGCUUCUUAUAAGGCGUGACCACGCCUUGUUUCAAAAUACCUUCUGUUUUGUUUUGAAAAACUGCACCUCAAGAUUACAGAAGCUCGUCUCUUAUAAGGCGUGACAACGCCUUGUUUCAAUACGCCUUUUGUUUUGACUUCUUUUUUUUUUUACAGAAGCUCGUUUCUUAUAAGGCGUGACCACGCCUUAUUUUAGCUUUGUUUUGACUUCUUUACUUUAUUUUACAGAAGCUCGUUUCUUAUAAGGCGUGACCACGCCUUAUCUCAAACCACUCUUUUUUUUAUUAUUAUUUAUUAUUUAUUUUAUUUUAUUAUUUUUUUUAUUAUUAUUAUUUUAUUUUUUUAAUUUUCCUAAUUUUUUAUUUUUUAUUAUUUUAAUUUUUUUAUUAUUAUUAUUUAUUUUUGUGCUUAAAAAAAAAGAGAGAGAGAAAAGAAACGAGAACGUUUUAUUUUGCAUAGCCACUAACGUUUUAUUUUCUUUGGCAGCAAUCAUCACCAAAACUUCCUAUUUUCACUGGGCGGUUCUACCUCCUUUCCCACCAUCACCAUUGACUAUUCAGUCCGAGUUGCUUUGCAAAUCAGAGGAGUUUCAUAAUUCUUUUUAUUUUUUUUUUCUGAGCCAUUUUCUUUUUGAUACAUUGAGGACAAUGUAUAGUUUAGGUGUAGGGAAGGAAUAUGAUAAUUACAUGAUUUCCUUUUCUUUUUGAAAAUAUUUUUUUAUGCUUUUAAUUAGGUAUGCUUUAAUUCAUACGUGCUACUUUUUCUUUUGCAACCUUGAGUUUUAUUUUGAUAACCUGGAAUACCAUGUAAAUUAGAAAUACAUUUUUGGUUUGAAUUUCAAUGCAUGAAAUGGGAUAAGCAUGAUUAGUGUAUCUUUAAAACUAUCCGAAGGUAUCUCAUUAGUUUAUUGAUUGAAAAAUGUACAAGAAUUGAUACAAAUGUAAAUAUUCAAGUGAGCUUUGAUCCUUAGAGCAGUGCAUUAUAUUUUGCUCUGAUUAUUUUUUAUGAGUGUUAUCAAACUAGUAUGAUUAUUCUAGAACUUGCUUUUGAAUUCAUGUUGAGACUAUAUUUUUGGAUUGAUGCUUUAAUAUGAUAAGGGAAAUUAGGAUUAAUCUAUUCUUAGACUCUUAAAGACUUACCCUAUUGAUUUUUCUUUUAGUCAGCCACUUUGAGCUUAUUUUCUUCUUUUUUUUCUUGUUUUUAACACAUGUUAUUUAACCCAAGACCUUUCAUUUGUUACCUCUAUUUUUCUAACCUUGUCAAGAUAAGAAGGGAAGUGUUGCAUGGUAUAAAUGAAACAGAAAAAAAAAAAGAGAAAAAGAAAGAAACAGAGAAAAAAAAAAGGAAGAAGAAGAGGAAAAGAAAGUUAAUAUCUAUUCCUUUCAUGAAGAGGAGAAUUGAAGAAGUAUUCAUCAAAUAUACUGAAUUAAAUUGUUACUCCUCACAAGUUCUCAUAUAAAAUAUGGGAAUAAAUAUCAACUUUCGAAAUUUUUGUAGUAUGUUUUAUGGAUGUCGCAUAAGUUAUCAUGCAAGAAUCUAAUUUUUUUUUGUCUUAAUUAUGAAACAUUUCAGCUCUUCCUUUAUCACACCAUUUCCUAAGCCCCAUUACAACCCUUGUAAAGUCCCUUUGAUUUUUGCAUCUAAUUCAUGUGUAGUGGUGAAGACUUGAUUCAUUAGCAAGCUUAUGGUAAUAACAUGCUAUGUUUUGAUUCUGAGAGUAAAUGCACCCUAAACACUUUGAGAGUAUUAAGUGAAACCAUGUGAGGGUGUUAAAUCUCGUUGCUUUGAUUUUGAUGAAUUAUUGAGAUACCUGUUCUUUUUAUAAAAUUUAUCCUAUGAGUGCUAAUCUCUUGAUUGUCAUUAUUAUUUAGCUCAUUAAUGUAUGUUUAAUUUGUUUGGUAUUUGAGGAGAUUAAAAGAGAUGAAAAGGAAGGUUAAAAGGAGAAUUUGUAUGUUGAAUUGAGGUAUGCUUGAGGACAAGCAUAAAUUAGGUGUGGAGAAAUUUGAUAGGUCACAAACAGUUAUAUUUAUUAUGUUUAAUUCCCUUACGAUUUGGUUCAAUAAUGUACUUAAUUAUGAAAAUUCUGUUUAUUCUGAAUUAGGUGAUGAAAUAUCAAGGAUGGAGCAAAAUACAGCCUAAAGGCAUGUUUAAGUCAUUAUUUAUCAAAAACCAAGUCUUUUAGAGGAGAGGCUGAAAUCUGCAAAAAAGAUCACUGUCAACAAGGCGUGACCACGCCUUACAGCCCAUGAGCUCCGCAAAAAUCNNNNNNNNNNNNNNNNNNNNNNNNNNNNNNNNNNNNNNNNNNNNNNNNNNNNNNNNNNNNNNNNNNNNNNNNNNNNNNNNNNNNNNNNNNNNNNNNNNNNNNNNNNNNNNNNNNNNNNNNNNNNNNNNNNNNNNNNNCACCUUGCGUCCAUGAGCUGUUAAAAGAUGGGAAAGAGAGCUUCGAAAUUUUCAGAGAUUAAUUUGUAGUGGACCUAUACCUAAUUAAUUUCUUUUAUUUUUGAAAGUGUUGGAUCAAUAGAACUUUUUUCCACGUAUUUAGGGUUUUAAUUUAUUUAGAUCACUCUUAAGCUUAUCCUUCCGUAUAGGGAUAAAAUUAUAUAGGAAGCAUAUUUUUUUUUUAUAAGGAUUCUACUAUUAGGGUUUAGGGUUUACUUUCUAUAAAAGGAUGGCUAGAUACUUUGAGCAUAUAAUUCAUAUUCUUAUUCUUCUUCUACUCCCUACAAUUCUUGUAAAUUCUUACUCCACCAUGAGUGGCUAAGUUUUUAGUUUUUAAUUCAAGAGUGAAUAAAUUCCAAUUGUGAUUUUGUGAGGCUUUGUGCUUAACAGAUUUUUUUUUAAUUCAAGUAUUCUUUAUUUCUUGUUCGUAUUAUUUAUGAAUUAUUAAUAUUGAUUGAAUUGACGACUCAACUUUGAUAUUGAUCUUUCUAUUGCUAAACUUUAAGUUUGUGAUCCGUAAUUAUCAUGAACGAUUGAUACAAGUAGCAAGGAACUGGCUCAUGUGUGUAAUUAUGGCUUAUUCGAAUUACAUAGCUUGCAUGAUAGGCUCUAGGGAAAUAAAAGAACAAGAUUGUUUCAAUUUCAGUUAUCUCAAUUGAAUUAAUGUUGGUUUAGUCAUUCUCAUUAUUUUUAAUGCUAUCAUUAAGUUGAUAUGGAACGCUAUCGUGCCCAGUUGACUAAUGGUAAGUUUUGAUUUGGAUGUUGGGUUUGAGUCAAUUAUAUUAGGAGAAUUACACUUGUUGCAGCUUUUUCGAAUAAGUAGACUAAGUACUUGAAUAGAAGAAUUGAUAUUUUAGCUUAUGAUCAUGAUUACAAUUGGAUGAAAUUAGCACUCUUGAAUUAGAAAUUUGUUAAGAUUGAUUUUAUUUACUUUAAUAUUCAGCAUUUAUUAUUUUCUGCUUAUUUAUAAUUUUGAUUCAAACAUUCAAAAUCCUCCCUUUUUAUUUUACUUUGAGAAGCCAUCCAUAUUGGUUCCCUUGGGAUUCGACCUGGUUUCACUAUUUCUACAAGUUAGUUUAGGAAAAUCAGUAAUUUAUUUUGAAGGGCUUCGACAACCCAUUCAAAGUACAAGGCUCAUGCCAAUACCAUUGCUGAACUUUUAUGGAUUUAAUCUCUGUUGCGAGAAAUUGGUAUGCUUUCUUCUUCACUUGCUACCUUGUGGUGUGACAAUAUUGGAGCAAUUUACUUAUCCUCUAAUCCGGUUUUUCAUGCUCGUACUAAGCAUAUUGAGUUCGACUAUUAUUUUUUAAGGGAACAAAUGGCGUUAAGCAUCAUCCAAAUUGGUUUUCUUUCUUCCAAUGAUCAACUUGGUACACUGGGUGUUAGAUUGUUUCAGCAGCAUCGCUCUCAUCUUCGUCUUCAACCUCACCCACCAUUAGCUUGCCGACAAGUAUCAAGUAAACCCUAGCUUAACUGCCUGAAAACCUUCCCUUGUAUUUCAAAUUAUAGUUUGUAUAAGAUAUAUUAUUAGAUAUUCCAGCCAUAUAUCUUAUUUUCAAUAGUUGUUAUGUAAUCUAUAGAUAUAUCUAGAGCUGUACUCUUUAAAAUAUCAAUAUAUACAAAAUCAUCUACUUCUCUAAACUUAAUAACAAUGAGCCUUGGUCUUGUCCGCUAUUUAUCAAUCAUCCAUCCUCGAUCACCCUAUAUGCAAAAAUUACAUAAUUAAAUUUAUAAUUUCAACUUUUUUGACAAAUUACAGUUUUUUAGUUAAAUAUCUUAAAUCUAAAUAUUUUUAAAUUUAAAAUAUUUGUUUGAAAUUUCAUUUCAAACAUAAGAAUUAAUUGAAAAAAUACUAAAAAAAUAAAUUUUAUGUAACACUUACAUAAAAAUAUAAAUGGUUUUAAUUAUAAGACAGCUCCUAAAUGCCAUUGCGGAAUAUCUUUAUGCUAUUUUUUAAUUAAAAACAGAAAUUUUAAUACGCCAAUAAAUAAAAUUAUACUAAUUAUAUAAAAAUAAUUAAGUAUCUGAAUUUAUAUUAAAAUAAUUAAAAUUAUCUAUUAUAGCGCAAAAAUCUAGUGAAACAGAUAUUUUGGUUUUCUUGGUCUUCUAGUUCUCUAACUAUAGAGCUUUUAGUCUGUCCACACGGAGACAUAGAGGCAAUAUUGUAGAGAUUUGAUUUUCUUCUCAGUCAAACCCUUUUACCAAAACCAAUUUUUAGAUUUAUUUUUUCUUACAGCAAUCAAAAUCUCAACAAUGUUCUUUUUUAAAAGAGUAUAUUGCAUUGUCCACAUAAACAAUAACUAUUCUAUAUAUAUAUAUAUAAAUUAAAACUUCUUUUAACUUCUACUUUUUACCUCUUUUCAUAAAUGUAAAUUAAUUAUUUAAUUUAACCAUUUAACUAAAAUGUAAUUAAUUUCUGGCAUAAAUUACUAACACCUUCAAGAGAAGCUAGCAUAGUGCAAGAGAUUACAGAGGUAAGGUAGUAUUCUGCAUGGCUACAAAACUGUCCCUUGGAUACGGUGCUUAUAAUUGACUAGAACGGGAAAGCUUGCACACUUUGCAGGAUGCAGUUUUUGGCAAACUCUCAGCUCUUUUUAUCUCAUUUGCUGUUUUUUCCUUUUUUUUUUUUUUUGUUACACGAUGUAAUAAUUUUCACUAUAACCUCUCUCCCACUUACAAAGCGAAGCAUAUAGUUGCUCGGCCGGUUAAAUACUAUUAAUAAAAAUAGUAAUUCAUUGUUCUUAACAAUAGGGUCCGGAGACUUCUUGAUUCAUUAUACUAUUACUCUAGGAUUAUAUACAACCACAUUGAAAUAAAAUAAAUCAUUAUUUUACAUCGAACAUAAAUAUUGAAUCGCUAUUAUGAAUUACCAUCAAUCUACGUUAGAUAGUAUUCAACGCUAGUAUAGUGAUAGGUCACAAAUAGUUAUAUUUAUUGUGUUUAAUUUCCUUGCGAUUUGGUUGAAUAAUGUACUUAAUUAUGGAAAUUAUGUUUACUCUGAGUUAGGUGAUGAAAUAUCAAGGAUGGAGCAAAAUCCAGCCUAAAGACAUGUUUUAAGUCAUCAUUUAUCAGAAACCAAGUCUUUUGGAGGAAGUGCAGAAAUCUACACAGAAGAUCACUGUCGACAAGGCAUGACCACGCCUUACAGCCCAUAAGCUCCGCAGAAAUCUGUGCAGAAGACUACUGUCAACGAGGCGUGACCACGCCUUGCGCCCCAUGAGCUGCUAAAAGAUGCGAAGGAGAGCUUCGAAAUUUUUAGAGUUUUCAUUGUGGUGGACCUAUCCCUAGUUAAUCUCCUCUAUUUUUGGAAGUGUUGGAUUAAUAGAACUUUCUUCCAUAUAUUUAGGGUUUUAAUUUAUUUAGAUCACUUUUAAUCUUAUCCUUUCUUGUAGGGAUAAGAUUAAAUAGGAAGCUUAUUUCUUUCUGAUAAGGAUUCUAUUAGGGUUUAGGGUUUUACUUCUUAUAUAAGGACGGCUGGAAGUACCUAUAAACAUACAUAUUCUUAUUAUUCUUCUACUCUCUACAAUUCUUGUGAAUUCUUACUCUACCAUGAGUGGCUAAGUUUUUAAUUUCUAAUUUAAGAGUGAAUAAAUUCCAAUUGUGAUUUUGUGAGGCUUUAAGCUUAACAGAAUUCUUCUUUAAUUCAAGUAUUUUUUAUUUCUUGUUCUUAUUAUUUAUGAAUUAUUAAUAUUGAUUGAACUGACGACUCAACUUUGAUAUUGAUUUUUCUAUUGCUAAACUUUGAGUUUAUGAUCCGUAAUUGUCAUGAACGAUUGACAUAAGUAGCAAGGAGCUGGCUCAUGUGUGUGUGAUUACGGCUUAUUCGAAUUACAUAGCUUGCAUGAUAGGCUCUAGGGAAAUAAAGGAACAAGGUUAUUUCAAUUGCAGUUAUCUCAAUUAAAUUAAUGUUGGUUUAGUCAUUCUCAUUAUUCUUAAUGCUAUCAUUAAGUUGAUAUGGAACGCUAUCGUGUCCAGUUGACUAAUGAUAAGUCUUGAUUUGGAUGUUGGGUUUGAGUCAAUUGUAUUAGGAGAAUUACACUUAUUCCGGCUUUUUCGAAUAAGUAGACUAAGUACUUGAAUAGAAGAAUUGAUAUUUUACCUAUGAUCGUGAUUACAAUUGGAUGGAAUUAGCACUCUUGAAUUGAAAAUUUGUUAAGAUUGAUUUUUAUUUACUUUAAUAUUCAGCCUUCAUUAUUUUCUGCUUAUUUAUAAUUUUGAUUUAAACAUUCAAAAAUCUCCAUUUUAUUUUACUUUGAGAAGCUAUUUACAUUGGUUCUCUUGGGAUUCGAUCUGGUUUCACUUUUUCUACAAAUUAGCUUAAAAAAAUCAGUAAUUUAUUUUGAAGGACUUCAACAACCCGUUCACAUAGAUUUAUUUUUUAAAGUAAAGCGGUGUCAAACCAAAAUACUCAACAAGCAUUAUUUCUUUCUAAAAAUUGAAGUGAUCCAACCGCACCUUUCAGUGCGACUACUUUAUUACAACUUUACUUUAGUGAAUAAUCCUGUCUUCGGCAUUCCCCUCCUUGCUGCUAAGGUAACGAUUUCGGCAUCGCCAGCUCCCAUAGUGGUUAUAGGGCUUAAUUUAUAAGUAGUGCCUAGAUAUCUCUCCAUUCAAUAUAGCGACGGAAUACAAUACGUAAAUAAUCAUUGACAAUGCUUGUUCAUCGAAAUCUACGAUUUCUUAUUUAAAUAUAUACCAGACCCAUUUGCAUAAAUGUAAAACCAAUUCAAUAUCACGAAUGAACAUGGGUAAUUGGGGUAAUGAGGACAGUUGCCCCCACCGCUCUAUAUAUAUAUAUAUAUAUAUAUAUAUAUAUAUAUAUAGGUACAAGUUAUUUUUUUAUUUUGUCCCACUAAUUAUUUUUAAUAAUACUAAAUUUUUUAAUAGCAAGAUAGAUUCUUCUUGCUACGAAGAAUCUAUUGGUUGAUUGAUAAUUUGAAAUGCUCAUUUGCCUUAAAUAGGUGUUUUUUUUUAUAAAAAUAAAGUCAUGUUAGAGAUACACAUUAUUAAAAGAAAAAAAAAAGAUAAUAAAAAUUUGUAAAAAUAAAGGUCUAACUAAUCAAGUGAUUAAUUCUAAUCAUUUUAAUAUUAGUUGGAUUCAAAUUUAAAUUUAUUAAUUAGUUUCUACUCUAUAAUUUAUUUAACUCCUGUUAAUAGUUUUUCCAAUUUUAUCUAUUGUUAAUGCAUUUUAAAUAUAAAUUAUUUUAAUUUAUUAUGAAUGAAAUAUCUCCAAUAUUCUACAAUAUAGAAAAGUUUGCCACCUAAAAUCUUUUUUUGGCUCCAAUUGUUCCUAUAUACCAGAGGAAACAUACUUAUAAGAAAAUCCCUUUGCCGCAUCCCUGUCUGACUUGAUGACUAAUAAUUGUGACUGUCGCCAAGAUUAAAAAGUGGCAUGAUUAUGCUUAUCGAAUAUUAAUAACAUAGUCUUCCCAUAUUAUCUGCAUCAAAAUAAUGCUCAUUAAAAAUAUUGGUGGACCGACUUUUUCAUCCAAUUUAUCAUCUUUUGAGUUAUACAAUGAAAAAUAUAAACAAGAAUAAUUAGUUCUUGUUAACUAAUAACAUUUCUCAUCCUCUUUUCUACUUAUAAUCAUUGCAAAGAAUUUUUUAUUAGACUAAAAAGAGUAAAAGAAAAAUGAAUUACAAAAUAAUAAAAACUACAGAUGAAAAAUUAUAAUAGACCAUAAAGCACACGUGCUGAAUCCUCACCCACUUCGACACGUGUACUUCUCUACAUAUUUUCAAGACGUGGCACUUGCAUCCGCACCAGUCCCUUCGUUCCUUUCACCUACUUGUUUUUCGAUUUUUUCCUUAUUAUUUUUAUCAAAUUUAUUUUAAUUUGUGUAAAACUACAGUAAAGUUGGUAGAGAAAAAUGAAAGAGAAAGCUUUAAAAAUAUUUAUAUUAUUAUUGAGCAAUCAAUUAGUUGCUACAACACAAUAAUACAGGACGAGAGAUCAGUAUUUAUACUAAUAGUAUUAGGGGUAAAUUAGAUUUUGGAGGUACCAAAUUAUGCAUUUUAAAAAUAUAUUAAAUCUUUGAUAUAACUAAAUGAUCAAUGAUCUUCAAUUUUAAUAACAUUAAUUAGUUUUUUUAACAAAUGUGAAGAUUACAUCAACAGUCACCAAAUUUUACAUGUUAUAAUAAAAAAAUUAUUAAAAUUCCGAUUUUAGAAGAUAUAUGACCAGUAUUCUUUUUUGUAAUAAAUUAAAGAUUUAAUACAUUUUAAUUAUAAAAUGUUAAAUUUAGUAACUAUCUAUAUAAUUUACCAUUCAAACGUGUGCUGCUAAAAUUAAAAUUUAGCGACUAUUUAAUUAUAAAUCAAAUAUUUACUAUAUUUUUAUUACAAAGUGUAAAAUAUAAUAAGCGUGACUGAUAAUAUUACCCUAAAAUGUAUUUAUAUACUAAGUGAAGGAAACUGCAACUAAAAAUUGAUAAAAUUGCUUAGACAUCAGUUAUGGUGAAACAUCACAUUUAACAUCAUCCCUUUGCAAGGUUGGUUUCAGUAGAUUUCUUAAUUAAUCACAAUUUUUUCACAAACCAAGACUUUAUUAAAGCAGAAUUUGGGUAAGGUACCCAGUACAAAAACUGACCACCCAUAUCAACAAAAAAUGGAAAAUGAAACGCUACAAGAACAAAGAUAAUAUAAAACAUAAAACGCACGCGACAAAGUCACUCUCUUGUAACAGUUGCCUUUGCCAAGUUGUCUGCAAAUCCAUUAUUUUCAAUACUUAGUCUAAUAUGUUUAAUUUGGAAGCAUGCAUGUGAUUAUGCCGGGUACAAAUUUGCAGGCAAACGUGGCUUUGCGAGUGCAACUAAUGGUUUGGCAAGUGCCAAACUAUUCUUAGACUCUGAAAGAUCAAUGCUUGUCUCAUUAGGGGGCACGCUCCAGCUAAACCCUUGAAGAAGCCUAGCAAAUAACAUAGCAGUCACUGCAGUUCCCAAUAUGAUGCCUGGACAACCUCUUCGUCCUGUACUAAAUGAAAGCAAGUUCAAAUCAGGCUGCGUCAGCAUCACUUGACAUCCAUUUUUCUUGAAAUGACGCUCUGGUUUGAACAUGUGUGGUUCAUCCCAAAUCCGGGGAUUCCGGCCGAGGCCGACUCGGCUAAGCAAGACAUGGCUACCUUUUGGAAUAAAAUAGUCAGCAACAGUUGUAUCUGCUAUGGAGACAUGAGGAACAUUGAAGAAGACAAUAGGGUGGAGGCGAAACGCUUCUUUAGCACAUGCUUUUAUGUAAUUGAGCUGUGGGAAAUCUGACUCUUGGACUAGUCUCUCCCUUCCAACAACUCUAUCCAAUUCUUCUACUGCGUUCUCAAGAAGUUUCGGUUUGUUUAUCAUCUCUGCAAGUGCCCAUUCUAAAGCAUUUGAUGGAUUAUCCACUGCUGCCAGCAUUAUUUCCUACAAAUCAAUUAUUAAAAUGCAAGAUGCAAUAAAUUUGAAUCUUAACCAACAUAUUUAAUAUAUACCAAACUGAAAAUGACGAAAUGAACUUCUUGCAAGAAAAGAACAAGCAAAUGGAAUUUUCCAUAAUUCCAUUUCAUCAAUCAGGCAGAAAAAUGUUAUAUUUGGGAUGUGUUGUAUACGUUGGACAACUUUCAUCGGAGAGAAGAAGUAAAUAAAUAUAAUAAAAACGAUACAAGUAAAAAAAUUUAUUAAAGAUUGAGAUAUAUCACGGAUAUAUAUUUCUAUAAUUAAAAUAUACAAGACACUUUAUCUCUUAACAAAAGAUAGCUUUCUACCCCUACUAAUAUUGUAAGUUAUUUAUAAUACUUAUAUGAUUUUUUAUUUAUAACUUUAAUUAUUGAUAUUCAUGACAUUUAAUAAUCUAAUCUUUCAUAUAGUUAGAGCUCUUUAACAACUAAUCAUUCUUAAAACAAUAAUAUCAAAUAUUGAAGUUUACAUUUUCAAUAGUAUGCAUGUGCGAUAGAGUGAGAGAGACAGAGCUUACAGUAAUCUGAGCUUUAAUCUCUUCUGUUGACAGCAAAGAGUUGCCAUUGGCAUCUUCUAAAUUUAUGAAAACGUCAAGCAAGUCGUCCACUUCCUUCUUAGUGCCAUCCCUCCAUUGUUUGACCCUCGCUUCAAUUAUGGGAUCUUGAUAUUUUUUUAUGAUUCCAAUAGCAUCCUUCAUGAUCUUCUCAUGACCAUCCAAGUCAAGCCCUAUCAAGCAUGGCAUAUAAUCAGACACACAAAAUGCAUAGGUAUGAGCAAGGGCUGUUAAAAUCGCAUCAACAUGCUCUUUUUCCUCGACACCAGGCCCUCCGUCCUUCAUUCCCUCCCCGAAGAACCUUUUGUUAAACACCAUCUUCCUUAUUACAUUUCCACAAUAGUGCCGUCCUGUGAUUCUCACGUCAACUGAUCCACCUUCCUCGGCAGUCUUGCAUUGGUUAUACACAUAACGAACAAGGUGAUCAGCUUCUUCAAGUCUUUUUCCGUAAAACCACUUGCAUUUUUCGGCAGAAAGAAAUUGCGUUACCAGCACUCUCCUCAUUUUCUUCCAUUGUUCUCCUAAGGGCACAAGACCUGUUGUCAAAUAACCUCUUGCAGUGAGAUCGGUGGACAUGGUUAACGGCCUGCUUGCAAAGACAGCAUCCUGUACUUUCAAGAAUUCACGGCUAAUCUCAGGAGAAGUGACAGGAAUCACAUGAACGUUUCCAAGACGGAUACAAGCAAUUUCAGUGUUCAUUUCUUCCAUGAGCUUGUGUAUCCAUCGAAUGGUCGGCUUAUUUGCCAGCAUCGUUGGCAGGCAUCCGACAAGAGGCCAAGGUUUUGGGCCAGGAGGUAGUGGGAGUUGCUUGGCGUUUUGGCUUUCUAGCUUUUGGAAUUUGGUCAAGUAAAUUAAGGCCAACGCCAAGAGAAGAACUAGGGAACAGGAGUUCA